UGAGAGGGCCAUACUUUCUGGAAAGCUCCCCGAGAUAGAUAUGUGGGGCUGAGGGAUCAAACUGAUGCAUGUUUCCAAUGAUUGGAAUGCCAGGAGGACCAGGGAGAGGUGGAUGAGAUUUUGUUGAUGAUUUCCUGCUGUUUUUCUGAAGAAGAAUCAGGAAAAUUAUGGGAAGAGCUGAAAGUAAAGCAAUGAUCAAUACUAUCUCCAUAACUUCAGGAGGAAGAUUUUCUUGAGGUGGCUGGAAAAUGGCCAUAGAAGUUGGUUUUAAAUAGUCUUUGUUGAGCUUCAAGUUGCUUGAUUUUUUUAAUCUUUUCUUUUCUAGUGUGUAGGGAAAAAAACUACCAUGGCCCAAAUCCAAGAAUAUUACCAUCUUUCUACAUUCUACGUCAACAAUUACUACCAAGCCCAUCUCCAUUAUCACUGUCACAGGCUACCAACUAGACAACUUUGUAACAUUCUUUUCUUUCUACCACUAGAUCCACACUAUCACUAACAAUUCCAUCUAUGUUACUACUAUCAUAAUCCUAAGGCACAUUUUGUCAGGGAAAAAAAUAAGGAGAUGCUCUAGCAAUCCAAAACCCGGAGGGUACUAGCCUGAAAAAAAGUCACGUCUCUGUGUAUACUGUGAUUUUUACAUUCACUUUUAUAUUAAUUAAUUUCAAUAAAAUGCACAAUCAAAGCAUCUACUCAAAUAAGUUUUGUCAAUUGACAAUUGUUUUGAAAUAUCACAAAAAUUUUUCGAACAAGUUUUUUGGAUUUUUUUCUCUUUUAAGAAUAUCGGUUCUUUUCCGUGUAAAAUAGUGAGAAAGUGAAGGUCAUUUUUGGUAACUCAUUAUGUCAAGAGAGGUCAAUAUAAUUUCUCAAAUUAGAGGGAAGCUAGAUGAAAUUGUUAGAAACCUAAGGGGGUUAUCCCUUAAAAUAAUGCGUAUUGGUAUAUUUCAAUAGCUUGUGUUAGUGAAUAUGAGUAUUUGAUUAGUCUAAAAUUUAAUAAUUCCCGAGGCAUUAUUAACUAUUAGUUGGUGGAUAUUACAAAACUUUUGCAGGAUUAUUGUAUUAUUUGUCCGUAAGAAACUAAAUAAAUCUUAAAAUUGAUUUUCAUGUAUAGCUAGAACUUAUUUUUGAAAAUUUACCAGAAAAUUAGUACAUCAUGUUUGAAAAAUACAGAUUUAGCUCCUCUACAGUUGCAAGAGAAACCGGACUAUACAAUUGAUGGUUUGAGAUUGAAUCGAAGUGGCCCUACUCGAUCUCAAUCAUCCAUUUCAAAACUAGUGAAUCUUGAAAUAGAUGGCGGAUAUCAAGCUGUGACACUCUAAUCCAAUCUUGGACCGUCAUAAUGCGGUCCUUGCAACCGUAGGAGAUCUGAAUCCACAAAAUACCGACCCUUGGGGGUUAAAACUAAUGAUCGAAGAAGAAUAAUCCGUAGAAUAUUGUUGGAUGUUUUUCGUGUUGAGGGUUGACUGCUGAAUUUUAAAGCCGAAUGUGUCAUGAUCGUGAACUCACUUGUGACCACCACCCAUAGAGAGAAGCGUGCAAAAUAUUUAGAAGUACGAACCAAUACAUGCCCUUUAGUUAAUCUCCUGGGAUUAGUCUAAUGGUCAGUGGAGGGUUUUAAAAACUAUCUCUGCUGUCAGGUUCAUAUUUGAAUUCUGGGCCUAAUAGCAAGGGAGUGGAAAAGUAACGGGGAAAGAUGGGAGGUCAAAAAAAAUGCCCUUGAGUUGUUUAUUGUGUUUAUUGUUAAGAAUCCCAACACAUGGUCCCAGGGUUUAUAUAAAACUACUUGUUUGGAAAUAAAUUCUACAGCCUUGACCUAAUGCUUGUCAGAGAUGAUUUCGAAUCACAAUAAUUGCAUACGAGUAUCUUUCAUGACUUCAUUUACAGCAAAAGUCAAAGAUUUGAUAUCAUAUAGUUUGCAUAAACCUUUUGUUUCAACAUGUUAAAUUGACCUUCGAACUUGCGUAUUUAUAGCUUAGUCUUGGAAACAGAAAUAUUUAUAGGUUUUUUUUUUUAACGAUUUUUCCACACGGAAGUGAGGUAAAUUUCCUCAAAUGUCCUUACUCAGUCCCUCAACUUAUAUUUUUCUUCAUUUUAGUUGUUGAUCAUUUAUGUUCAAUUUAAAUUAGUCAGUUUAGAUGCUUGACAAAACAAAAUGGUCUUUUACCAAGCAGGUGAUUAUUGAUGGACCCAUGACUUUUAUCAGAUCAAAUUUAUAAUAUAAGCUUGAUGAAGAAUGGACUCUAAAUAUGAGGGUUUUGGGAAUUGCUAUGCCAGCCGUUCUGAGGUUCAUUCUUGUUCCUCCUUCGUGCCAGCUUUUUCAUUUCCUUUCUUGUUUUAACCAAAUUAAAAAAAAACGAAGUACUUGCUUUGAUUCUCAUAUGAGUGCAAUGGAAUGAUGAUUCAUAUAAUAUUGAAUGGUUAAUCUCAUAACUAAUAUUUUCAAACUUUUCAAAAAUUGACGGGGGUAUGUAAUUUAAGAAGAGAUGGAUGGCCAAUAUGUCGUCUUAUUGCAUCUACUAGUUGAUUUAACAUAGAUGUGUUUGGAUAAGAGAUUAUUUGGAAAAAAAAAUAUUUGAAAUAGUACAAAAAUUUUUUUUGUGAUGUAAUGUAUGCCAAAUAAAAGAAUGAUUGGAAAUUGUGUUUAAGAUACAAACUAAAUAAUAUUUGAAAUUUUUUUUUUUUGGCAAAUCAUGCUAACCAAACGGACCUGUUGUUAUAGUUUGGACAAACUAGUAAUUUGGCCAUAUCUCAAGUGACCAAAAAAGAAAGCCAAAUUGCUUAAAGCAAUAAACAACUGCAAGAUCCCCCCCUCCCCCCGGGCGGCGGGGAGCUACAAGAUUUAAAUGAAAUAACAGCGUGGUGCUGUUCUCGCUACAAUUUUUGUAAAAGACUAAAUAAUCAGAAAUACUAAAAGCUAUUAUUGGGUUAUUUUUUACAAAAUCUAACUAUGAAAGCAAAUGUGAACAUCAAAAAGACUAAUUUUCAAAAUUGGAAUCCAAAACCAAGUAAAAUAAUCAGACACCCAUACUGUUUUCUUUUUUCUUGCUAAUUAAAAAUUUGGAUGGGUUUGACUCUGAUUAUUACCAUAGGUCGGCUUCAAUUACGGAUCAACCACCAAUAUAAUUUUCACAUUCGAUAGGUUACUUGUAAGAGUUCUUACAUAUCGUCAAUCAACACAGUUUUCACAUUUGGGACUAUAGGUUCUUAUGAAUUGCGUACCAACAUAAUUUUUAUAUUUGGAACCAUAGAUCACUUACAUGAAUUUUUAUAGAUUGUACAUUAAUACAUUCUUUACAUUGACAACGAAACUUGAGCACAUGAUCUUUUGUAAAAGAAUGACUUAUUAUUAUCAACUAAGUCGACUUGUGUAAACAUACCUAUAAUGUUUGUAAGGGAUUUCAUCAAUCAGUGUAUCCUAUAGGAGUAUUUAAAAGCACCGCGGGUGGUUCCAUUUGAAAAUCCGGCAGACGACCUGUGCUAACCUCUCCAUCUUUAGUUCUUUACUGUUAGCAGGCUUUUCAAUUGGGGCUUCUGGCCUGGGCUCUGCUACAAACCCAAAGACGUGCUUAACUAAAAAAACCUGAUUCGAUAGCUUAAGGAGAAUCCUUCAGGCUUAAAGAUUGUUUGCAAUACUCGGCACUUUUGGUUUGUUAGGCUUCUAGCCCCAAUCUAAUUGACCCAAACUCAAGCUUUCACACUUUUUUUUUCAGGUGUUCAGACUUUUUUGUUCUCUAAAAAAAAUACACUUUUUAAAAAAAAUAAUAAUAUUGUGAGUAAAAAAUAAAAAUUUAGAUUCUUAACACGAGAAUUUUUCAUAAAUUUCUUGAUAGGUGUGGUGAUUCUUUAAAUAAAACAAACAAUAUAUAAUACUUUUCUUUUGUUCAACAAACUCCAACUAUUGCAUGAGAGAAGGAAGAAAAGUAAAGGUUAAAAGUCGAAUUAGAGAUCUCAUAAUUUCUUUGAGUACAUUAAUAUACAAUAUUACAUUUGAUAUUUAUCAGUCAAGGUUAUACUAAGCUUAGCAAAGUGUUGCCAAAACUUGGUCAUUUUAAUUUGGGGCAUAAUUUUUGGACCCAAAACCUAUAUAUAUAUAGCCCAUUCCUCACUUUCUUGCUAAUCUAAUCACUCACUAUCAUAUUUGAAGGCACUGUCGCUUUCGUCUGAAUCAUCUAACAAAUCAUACUUUUAACUUUUAACUUUUUAUAUAAUUGAAGAUAAAUCUCAUUGGGUUUUUCUUAUGGUUUUCCUUUCUUCUAACAACUUCUAUCUUUUUAAUAUAUUUGAAUUUUUUUAUCCACACUUUUAUUGGUGCGAUUUAAUUGUUAUAUUGGUAAAUUUAUGAAUUUUAUUAGAAACUAAAUAUUUUGAAUUGUUGUAUCUUUUGUAUUUCAUUAAUAAAAAUAUACAUAGUUCUUGAUAUCUAAUCGUUGUAAAAUUUUAAUAAAUAUCUCAAAGAAUAGUUAACAAGUUUUUUUGAUGCACUGCAAUAGUUGAUAGAUAUUAUAACAUUACAAUAUAUUUAAACUGCGUAAGAGUAUUUAAUACGUUAGUUGAAUGUUUAGAGUACAAUAAUAUUCUACAAUAAAUACGUAAGAGUAUUGUUAAUAUUUCUUUCUUGAAUUAUUCAUACCUUACACAACUUCACAACUAGAGUUGUACACGAGUCAAGUUGAUCGCGAGCAACUCGAUUCAAAACUCGACUCGACUUCGGUCAAUAUCAAGUUCAAGUGGAGUUCGAGCAAACCAAGUCAAACUCGAAUUCAAAAAUAUUCAACACGUUAACUCACGAGUUCAAUUUUAUACAUAUAUAUAUAUUAUUUUAAUAGUAAAAUUACAUAUAUAUCCCUAAUAUUUUAUUAUUUAUUAAGAAAAAUAUUAUUUUAUCAAUUUUUUUUAAAAUUAAAAUUAUUUUUUUAUUUUUUUAAACUCCAGCUCGACUCGAGAGCUUUACACUAAGCGGUCAUUGAGUUUGAGUUCUAGUUCGAACUUGAUAAAAUUAAGUCGAGACUCAACUCGAUUCGACUCGAUUCAAUUUGUUUGUAACCCUAUUCACAACUACUAUGUUGACAUUUGUGUUUUUUUUUUUAGUGUAAUUGCUAAGGCUUGCAUCCAUGACCUCUCAUGUAGAAUCUCUCCCUUCCUAACCAACCAACCUAUCCCCUCCCUCCCAAGUUGUCAUUUGUUUUUCCUUGCUAAGAAGGCAGAUGUUUCUUGCCACAAGUCGCAGGGCACCACGUAAACAAUGAGUAUCAAUGUCUUCUUUCUUCACUCUAGAAGGCAAUUCCUGGCUGAAUGAAUUCAAAAUAUUAGCAAGUGUGAUCUCCAUACAUGCUAGCCCUAGGGAGUAUCUAGGGCAUCAUCUUCUGCCUACCCCCGAUGGGAGCAAUUGAAAUUACACCCCUUUCAUAUCUAUAGUACUAUUCAAGAAUCUCUCAGGCAAGAACUCGUAGAUUUUUCCAAUACUCAAGAUCCCUUUCCAAUUGCCCAACCAUUUAUGUAAACUAUAGUCCGGGGCUGAAUUUCAUAUCCGCCAAGGAUGCAACUUUCCAUUGAGUAUCUUGGGACUAAAUUAGGAACAAUUGUGUACAAUCUCAUAGUCUCCUUGAUGAUAGAUAUGAGAUAGGGAAGCUUUUGAGGAUCAUCUUCAUCUAUCAUUUUCCUCUCUCCAUGCACUUCUCGAAUUUCAGUUUGUGCUUUUUCAUUGCUGUAGAGGUUUUUGAUAAGUGCCGUCGUAGCCCAAAUUAUCGUGCCACCUGAAGUGUCUGAUCCAGCAAAGAAUAAAUUCUGCAAUGGUUUUUGGAAAGAAAAUAACAUUAUUGAAUUUUUGAGACUGGAAACUACAUGCUUUCAAUUCGAAGAUUAUUUAGAAAAUUAUUGUUAAUAACAAUCUCAUAAACCUUUUCACCGGAUGAUAUAUAACAGGUAAAAAGGUGAUUGAAAAUUGAACAAAAAGAAAACUGAAUUGUUCUAUUUUUUUUUUUGUUCUAGGCUCUGUACAACAUUUAUACAAAUGAAAUUUGACUUUUGUCAAUUCCAUGAAAUUUGUAAUCUCCUAAAAAUUAGGAGCUAAUUUAUUCUAUUCUAAAAUACAUUAGGAGUAAAUUAUUCUAUCCUAAAAUAGAGCAGAAAUCGUGGGAUAUACAUAGAAUUUAUAGUUGUACAAAAAAGAUAUUCUAGAUUUUCAACACUCCCCCUCAAGAUGGUGAAUAGAUAUUUUCUAUUCCCAUCUUGCAUGUAAUGUCUUCAAAGUUGGAAGUUGGCAUUCCCUCAGUUAAGAUAUCUGCCAAUUGAUUAUUUGAUGUUACAUAUGGAGUGCAAAUCAUGCCGCUGUCCAGCUUUUCUUAAUAAAAUGUCUAUCUAUUUCGAUGUGCUUUGUGCGAUCAUGUUGCACUGGAUUAUGUGCAAUGUUGAUGGCAGACUUGUUGUCGCAAUAGAGUUUCAUAGGUCCUUCCCACUUGAUUUUAAGGUCAUCAAGUGUUAUUUUGAGCCAUAACAAUUCACAAACUCCAUGAGCCAUAGCUCUAAACUCUGCUUCAGCACUUCAUCUUGCAACAACCGAUUGCUUCUUACUCCUUCAUGUCACUAGGUUCCCACUAAGAAAUGUACUAUAUCCUGAAGUUGAUCUAUGAUCUACAACAGAACCUGCAUAAUCAACAUCAGUAUAUGCCUCUAUGAGCAAUCUUUCAUUUUUCUUGAACAAAAUUCCUCUACCCGGUGCCCCUUUAAGGUAGGAUAGAAUUCUGUUGACAGCCUGCAAGUGUUUCUCUCUUGGAUCAUGCAUAAAUUGGCUUACUACACUUACGACAAAUGCUAUGUCCGGCCUUGUAUGGGACAAGUAUAUCAGUUUCCCAACCAACCGCUGAUAUCUUCCCUUAUCUACUGUGCUAUCAUCCUUCUCUUCAAUCAAUCUCAAGUUAGGCUCAAUGGAUGUGCUUGCUGCCUUGCAUCCAAGAUUGCCUGUUUCUUUAAGCAAGUCUAAGACAUACUUUUGUUGAGAAACAAAGAUGCCUUUACUUAAGUAUGCUACCUCAAUGCCUAAAAAAUACUUCAACCUCCCUAGUUCUUUAAUUUCAAACUCCUUUGCUAAACACUUUUUGAGUGUUUCUCUUUCAAUUGGAUCAUUCCCGAUGAUGAUGAUGUCAUCUACAUAUACAAGUAGAGCUGUAACACCUCCUUUUGAAUGUUUUAUGAACAAGGUAUGAUCUCCUUGACUUUGUUUGUUUGGAACCAAGCCCUUGGCGAUUGUUUUAAUCCAUAUAAAGCUUUCUUUAACCUGCACACUUUCUUUUCAAAAAACAUUUCAUUGAAACCUGGUAGAGGUUCCAUGUACACCUUUUCUUCUAAAUCCCCAUGUAAGAAUGCAUUCCUAAUAUCAAAUUGUUGUAAACACCAACCAAAGUUAGCGGCUAAAGACAAAAGAACACGCACGAUAUUCAUUUUUGCAACGGGUGCAAAGAUCCCUUGGUAUUCUAUCCCAUAUGUCUGUGUAUAUCCUUUUGCGACCAACCGAACUUUAUACCUUUCUAAUGAACCAUCAGCUCUAUAUUUCAAAGUAAACACCCAUUUACAUCCCACUAUUUUCUUUCCUUUAAGUAGGUUUAUAAUUUCCCAAGUCUUAUUUCUCUCUAGGGCAUUCAUCUUCUCUUUCAUAGCUUGUAACCAAUUCUUAUUUCUAAGUGCCUCUUGUAGUGUUUGUGGGAUUGAAAUGGAGUUGAUGGUGGUAAGAAAAGUUUUAUGUUGUGGAGAGAGUCUAUGGAAAGACAUGAAAUUUGAGAUUGGAUACUUAGUGUAUUCUCGUGUUCUUUUUCGAAUAGCAAUAGGCAGGUCUAAAUCAUUAAAUUCACAAUGAGCAAAGUCAGAUUGAACACACAAAGGAACAGAAUUUUCAGUACCUGAUCGUGGUUCAGAUUCUUGGGUUUGUACAGGUUCAAAAAUAUGAACUUUCUUCCUUAAGUAGACCUUGAGUGGUGUAUUUGGAUUUAAACCAGUUUUUCUCUCAACUCCAAGAUCAGGUUCAAUUUCUUUACUGGCAUGUUCAACUUCAAAUUCAAGUUCAGGUUCACUGCUAGCAUAUUCUCCUUUGGAAUUUGGUGUAUGGUCAGGUUUAAAAGACUUCAAGUUUAGUGUAGGACUUUGAAGAUCAAGGAGAGAUUCCUUAUCUUCCCAAGAACUCUCCCCCUGGAGAUGAGGAUUGUUACUUUGAGAGUAAGGUUCAUUUUCAACAAAUGUGACAUCCAUGGAUGUAAAAAAUUUUUUUGAAGGUGGAUGAUAACACUUGUAUCCUUUCUUUGUGUUUGAGUAUCCCACAAAAAUACAUUUUAAAUCUCUUGGAUCAAGUUUCCCUCUUUGGUGUGCAUGAACAUAUACAAAAGCAACACAACCAAACACUUUUGGUGACAAUGUGCAAGAGACAUUAAAAUAAGGGUAAAAAACAGAAAGAGUAGCAAUGAGACACUGAUUAUUUAGCACUUUGGAAGGUACUCUAUUUAUCAAAUGUGCAGCAGUUAAAACAGCCUCCCCCCAAAAGGUUUUUGGAACUUUAUGUUGAAACAAAAUUGCUCGAGUCACAUUGAGUAAAUGUCUAUUUUUCUGUUCAGCAAUCCCAUUUUGUUGGGGUGUGUCUACAUAAGAUGACUCAUGUAUUAUACCCUCUUUUUGGAAAAAAAGAUGAGAGAAUUUGAUUAAAAUAGUCUCUUGCAUUAUCAGAUCUUACUCUUUUAAUCAAACUUCCAAAUUAUGUACAAAUCAUUUUACAAAACAUUGGAAAAAUAUUGCUUACUUCUGAUUUUUUUUCAUAAGACAUAACCAAGUAGUUCUAGUACAAUUAUUAAUGAAUGUGACAAACUAUUUUGCUCCAGAAAUACUAGAAACUCUACAAGGCCCCCAAAUAUCAGUAUGUAUCAAAGAGAAAGGUCUAGUAGAUCUUGUAUUACUCAAUGAAAAUGAUAGUCUAUGAUGUUUAGCAAUUUGACAUUUAUCACAAUGAAAACUACUAACAUCUUCAUUCUUAAAAAAGUGAAGGAAAUAUGCUUUUAAGUAAAAUAAAGAUGGAUGAUCAAGGCGGAAAUGAUGAAGCCAAAUUUCAUAUUUAUUAUUUGAGGAGCAGGUGAGGGAUAACUGAUUAUUGUUCUUCUUGUUGCCACUCAUUUCCUCAAGGUAAUAAAGCCCAUCAUUCACCUUAGCAAGUCCAAUCGUCCUCCCCGUAACCAAAUCCUAAAAAGCAUAGUGAGUAGAAUAGAAAAUUACUUUAUAGUUCAGAUCUUUGGUAAUUUGAUGGAUGGAUAUGCGAUUGGAGGACAAUUUUGGGACAUGCAACACAUUAUUUAGGGACAAAGAAUUUGAUAGAUUUAUUGUCCCUUGGCCUGCAACAGUUAUAGAAGAUCCAUCCGCAACAGUAAUUCUUCUAUUUUCAGGACAUGGGUUGUAUGUUCUAAAUCUGAUUGGGUUGUGAGUCAUAUGGUCAGUAGCUCCUGAGUCGAUGACCCAAGAGUCUAGAGAAGACAUGCUUGAGGCACUUAGCGCAUAAGAGUUAAGGUACUUACCUGAUUGAGCCAAUGAACACGUACUAGAGGACUUUUCAAGGAAAUUUAGGAGGUUUCUUAGCUUUUCGAUUUCUUCUUUAUUGAAUUCUCCUAUACCAACCUGGUUGGAUUUUUCUUGUGUUUGGUCUACUCCAUUAGUUAAGUGGGCUUUUCCGCCUUUGAAUCCUCCUUUACGACUAAGGACUUUUCCUUCCCAUGGAGUUUGAAGCAAUCAUUUCGUGUAUGACGUGUUUUUUUGCAGUAUGUGCACCAAAUUAUGUCUUUAUUUGACUCUGUACGCCCAUUACCUAUCUUUGUUUCCUUAUUGUUUGAUUUUGUAGAAAUCAUUGCCGAGCCUUCUAAUAUUUUAGGCUCCAACAUGACUUCUCGCCUAUUCUUUGCAGCUCGGAUCAAUGAUAUUGUCUCAUUCAGAAAUGAUAAUCUUUUCUUCCCCAAUAUAUAGACUCUGACCUGAUCAAAUUCCACAUUCAGACCUGCAAGGAAGUCAUAAACUCUAUCCUUUUCGAUAAAGUUUUUCAAGGUGGCUGCAUCUUCACUACAUAACAUCUGAACACACUGAUAUUGGUCCAGUUCCUGCCACAGAUUUUGCAGAAGAUUGGCAUAUUGAGUAACAGAAAGGUUGCCUUGUUUAGUGGCUGAGAUCUUUGUUUUGAUCUCAUAGAUUAGGGCAGCAUCUCCUGUCUUUGAAUAGGACUGUUGAAUAGUAGUCUAUAUAUCUUUAGCUGUUGGUAGGAACAUGCAAGUAUCACCUAUUUCAUAUAACAUGGAGUUCCACAGCCAUGACAAGACCAUAGAAUCCUCUUCAUCCCAAGUAGCGAAUUUAGGAUCUCCCUUUUUCGGUCCAGUUCCAAGCAAGUGGCUGAUUUCUCCCUUUCCUUUGAGAAAUGUUUGAACAAAUUGUGACCAUUUCAAAUAGUUUUUUUCCGUUGAGCCUGUAGGCUACCUGGAUACUCUGCAAAUCCCUUGUUUGUGGAAUAUUUGAGGUCUCUUCUGAUUUGGUAUUGGAGUUGAUUUCUGAUGUUUCAGUUUCAGACAUGUUGGAGGUUUCAAAGAAAAAUUGGCAAUGAAGGCCUAAUGAAAAAAUUAGCAAUAAAGGCUAGAAUUUGCACUUGGCAAUAAAGACUUGAAAAGAAGAAAGCACUCAGCAAUGAAGGUUGACAAUAAGAGGUUCCAAGAGCAAAAGCUCUGAUACCAUGAACAAAAAGAAAACUGAAUUGUUAUGUUUUUUCUUUUUGUUUUGUUCUAGGCUCUAUACAACAUUUAUACAAGUGGAAUUUGACUUUUGUCAAUUCCAUGAAAUCUGUAAUCUCCUAAAAAUUAGGAGCUAAUUUAUUCUAUUUUAAAAUACAUUAGGAGUAAAUUAUUCUAUCAUAAAAUAGAGCAAAAAUCAUAGGAUAUACAGAAUUUAUAGCUGUACAGAAAAAAUAUUCUAGAUUUUCAACAAAAAUAAUAAAAAUAUCAUUUGAAAAAUGUGUUGAAGGAAUUGUAAAAAAAUUUCUAGUUCAAAAUAAUGCUCAAUACAAAAAAUAAGUAAUGCUUGUUGUUUAUUAGAAGCAGAAUUGUAUCCUACUAAAAUGAAUCAACAUAUCUUUAAAACACUAUUCCAAUUCCCAUCUAGUUCUAAUACUGGUAUAGAGAAUACGAAAGUAUAACCUCUUCAUCAGAAUUCUUAAGUAGGAUCUUGUGUAAUAGAGCUAAAUGAAAAAAGACUGUAAGAAAGAUAAUUAAUAAUUAAAAAGGGGAAGAAGAAAGAAAAGAACUACUCAAGGCUCUGCUUGGUUCUUUAUCAUAAUUAAAUUGCAUCAUGUUCAGAUUAGUUCAUUACCAGAAAUGGCAUUGGAAUAGUAUGCCAUAUUGCAAGCAGCAUUGCUGUAUUCUUGACCAAAUACAAGCUGCAUAUUCGUUUUUAUGCAGCCAUAUUUGAGAAGGGGUGAUGCAGAGAGAAAAGCAAUAUGGAGCAUGGAUGAGAGCAAGAAACAUCAUGAUAUCCCUAUUAAAAGGAUGGAAUGAACCACCAAAAGAGAUAGAAAGAAAGUAAAAUACAAUAGGGAUGCAAAAAAAAAAGGAUGGAAAAGACCAAGGAUCCAUGAGGAGAAAGGUAUACAAGGAUAAGAUGACAGAAUAUUUACAAGAUCCAACUACAUAGCCAAAGGAGAUCCAAUAGGAAGAAAGGAAGAAUAUGUUCAGCAUUGAAAGGAAGAAAGAGGAAGUUGGAAACGAAGUAGAGGAAUCUACAGAAAUGAGUAAUGAGAAUCAAGGCAUAAGACAGGAGAAUAUGGAGGCGGAGCACAAUGGGGGCCAAUCAGAAAACGCAUUGAUAAUGGCAAAGGUAAUGGAAGGUUUUGAGGAGAAAAAGGAAAGAUAGACAGUAGAAGACUUGAGGGAUGGAAGCGAAAAAGAAGAAUGAAGGUAAUUCAAGAGAGUGUUGAGAACAACUAGAACCUCUCUGAAGAAGAUUAUAAAUAAGGAACGGCUAGGGCAAUUGGGAGGAAAAAGAAAAAUGAAGUCAUUACAACAAGAGAUAGAACCAAUGGAUGAAGAUGCUGCAGAUAACCCAAAGGUGAAAGCAAUGAAAAAGGAAACAAUCAACACACUAUCAACUAGGGAAUUGGAGGCUAACCCCUUUAUGCCUCCAAAGUGUAAAUGAAGGUUGUGGUGUGGAAUUAUCGAGGUGCAGGAGGGCCCUUGACAAAUUUCCGAUUGAAGGAGGUUUUAAAUCUCCACUCUCCUAAUAUUGUGUUCUUUUGUAAAACAAAAAACUAGGAAAACUUCAUGAAAAAAGUGCAAAAGACAAUCAAAUUUGAAAAUGGAUACAUUGUAAACUCUAUAGGUAGAGCAGGGAGACUGGCCUUGUUUUGGAACAAUGAUGUGAAGAGAGACGAAGUGAACAGCACUAGUUGGUAUAUAGUAGCAAAAAUAAAAGAUAGGGAAACUAAUUGCCAUGGGCAGCUAGUAUGCCUAUAUGCGAGUAUUGAUAGCAAUAUCAGAAAAAAAUAGUGGAAAAAAUCUUGAAAACAGGAAAAAGGAAUAGGGAAAGCCUUGGAUGCUGGUGGAGGAUUUCAGUGAUAUAAGACCGAAUGGGGAGAAAUUGAGGAAGGGGGGCAGAGAGAGAGAGAGCUGAAGGAAGUCUAAGGGAUUUCAACAGCUUCAUCAUAGCUAAUGAUCCUAUAGAAAUAGGAUACCAAGGGGUGCCAUGGAUGUGGAGCAAUUGCUGGGAGGGGGAUGGGGAAGUGAAGGAGAGAUUGGACAAGUGCUUAAGCAAUGCUGAAUGGAUGUAGAAGUUUGAUAAGGCCUCUUGUACACAUGUAGAAAAUGAAGCCCCAAACCACCUCAUCCUGAUCCUAGAUACUAAUCUAGAUAGACAAAAAAGAAGAAUGAGGUUUUAUUUUGAUCAAUGAUGGACUAAAAAUCCAGAAUCAAAGAAUGUGAUCAAAGGAGCAUGGGAUAAAGUACACGCAGGUUCCAAAAUGUACAAAGUGACCAGGAAAAAUAAAGGAGUACAAGAUAGCCAUUCUAGAAUGGAAUAAAAGAAUGCAAGGGAAUUCAAAAGUGAGGAUCAGGGAACUGAAAAAGCAACUCAAUAAGGAGAAAACAGGAAAUGAACCAGGUGAGAGAAGCUAGAUUGUCGCGCCCCAUUUUUUCGCGAUGAAAAUAAAUAUUUAGAAAAGAUGUGAUUUAUUUAAAAUAAGUCAAAAAGGACCUAAAAUGGGACUUUAAAAAAUGUGACAAUUUGGGUCCAAAUUAGUCAAAAAGGGUUUUUAAGAAAAAUAGGAGUCGCCACUUGGCAUUGAAUUCGAGUGUACCAAGUCACUAAAAAAUAUUUUUGAUAAAAAUAAAAUAAAAUAAAACCUUUUUUGGACAACUUCAGGUCUUUGAAAAGCAAGAGAAAAUGAGUUCGGGAGUCACGGUUGAAGAAAAGAAAGGCAAAGGUUCGAUUAAUUCAAAUCUAAAGCACCCUUUCAACCUAGUCUAAGCUAGUUGCGAGGUUUAGUAAAAAAAAUUUCUUAAUCUAAAUCUUAAAUUUAUCACGUUUGAAUGUUUCCUACAUAGAUGCAAAUCUAAAUUUAUAAAAUAUCGAAAGGGACAAAAUAUCCAUUCAAGGGUUUAAUUGAUACCAAUCGCAUUGAUUGCGAAUGCCAAAAUAAUUCCUUGAAUGUGUCACGAGUAUGCGAAUGAUGAAAUUAAAAAGAAAAGAAAAUUAAAUUAUAUAUAGAUAUAAGUGGCCAAAGAAUAGGGAAUGCAACAUAAUGGGUAUGGGAGGCAAAACCCGUGACAUAAUUUUUUUAUACAGAGAUCGAUGGGGUAUUUAAACUAAAGAGUUAUAAUCACCCAUUUCCCAUGUUCAAAGAAUAAUUCUCCUAAUAUAAACAAGCAAAUGAACUAACUUAUUCUACAAUUUCUUAAAUGAGAUGCAAUUCUAAAUGAUAUGAUGAACACAUAUAGAGGAUAGGGGAUAAUAUAAUAGGGAAUAUCAUGUAAAUGAGAAAAGAUCCUAAAAAUGAAAAUAUGCAUGAACUUGUAAUGAAUAUCACCCAAAGAUGAAUCUAAUGUAUGAAUAAUCUAAGGAUUUAGCGUUGGACUAACACAUUUCUAAAAAUCCUUACUAGCGUUGGACUAACAAGUAAGCAGAGGGAGAAGCCACAACUAGCGUUGGACUAGUGUGGUGACGUCAUGCAUUCUUAAUAUACAGUAAGACAAAUAGGUAUAAAUUAAAACAAAUAAACAUGUAAGAGCACGUAGCACAUAACACAUAAACAUAAUAUCUAAAUGCAAAAAUCCUAAGAAAAGCGGAUAAAGUACAUAACACAUAAGCCACAUAAACACACAAAAACCUAUCUAUUACAGUGGGGAAUCUAACUACAGUCUAAAAUAGGAAAAUAAAACAAAACAAAUCUAAUUAUCCUAUCUAUUACAUUUUUGAGGUAUGUAAAUGCCUCUCAAAUAAUUAUAAAAAUUAACUAAACAAAUAUAAGAAAAUUUGAAUGAACAUUUAAAUCAAAUAAAUAAAGCGUAUAAAAAUAUAUAAACACAUAGGAACACGUAGGAGCACAUAAGAGCACGUAAUUGACAUUUAAAUAAUAAUAGGGGUACCUCCCUUUUGAAGUGGUGACUAAAUGGAAGUUAAAUUACCCUAUUUAUACUCAAAAUGAACAAAAGAAUCGUGACACCAAUUUAAUUGAAAAUAAUAAUAAUGAUAAAAAAAAUACUAAAUUCACCUUAACAUGUCAAAUGUAAAGAAAUUUAAGAACAUCUAAAAUUAUAAGUUAAAUAUACUCAAAAGUAACAUAAUUAGCUAUUAAAAAAAAGAAGCAAUUAUAAUAAAGAGGGUCAAAAUUCACUAGGGACUGAAUUGCAAAAAUUGAAAAACUUUGGGUUAAAAAUAUAAUUUUUAAAAGUUUAGGGGCCAAAAUUAAAUAAAAGAUAAAGUUCAGGGACCAAAAUAUAAUUAAUUUAAGGAUCUAAGUGAAAGAAAUUUAAAAUGUUCUGGGCCAAAGUAAAACUACUCCAAAGAUCAGGGGUUAAAGUGAAAAUUUCUAUUUCUGCUAGGCAUGUCAAUGGGUUGGGUCUUAUCCAGAUCCAACCUAGAUCCAAUAUAUUUGGGUAGGGUUUGGAUUUAAUUUCUCAAACCCAGACCCAGACCCUGUGAAAGAGUUGUGGGUCUGGGUAGGGUCUGGUGGUUUUCUAGAAUCCAAUAUCCAAAUUCAUAUCCAUACUAGAUCUUACUCAGAUCCAUAUUUAUUUAAUUAAAUAAUAUAUAUAUUAGUAAAUUUAUAAAAUAAUAUAAUAUUUUAUGACUAUUGGAUCGAAUACAGUAAGAUUUUAUGGCAUUUGGUGGUUGGGUGAUUAAUGAGACUCGUGCCAAAUUGUUUCUAGAUAUGGUUGAAACAUUAGUGAUUACUGAUGAUUGAAUUGAAUCAAAAAAAAUGAGUAAGUGUUUAUAAAUUUUCUUAUUCUAUUAUUUAUUUUCCAUUUAUCCUUAGUCAAAUGACUUUUAUCUCAUUUAUUAUUUUAGUGCUGAAUUGCGAGACAUCUACCAACAUUGAAGUUUAAAUAAGAAAAAAAUGUACAAAAUUACAUUUUUUUAAUAAGACUAAAUAUUUAUAUAUGUUAUGGUUGUUUUCUUUUUGUAAAAACUAGUCCUAGUUAUCAUUGUAAUUGAUUCAAACUUUUUCAAGAAAAGGAGAAAAGGUAAAGGCAAACAAAUGAAAUAUUGGAUAUGGAUGCAGUUUAAUCUUUGAAAAUAGAAGUAGUCAAUAAUAAUUCUUUCUUUGAAUUCACACUAUUGCAUUCAACGUGUUGAAUGUUAAUUUUAUUAUUUGAAAACAAAAAUUGGAGGAUAUUUAUAUUAUUUAUGAACUCUAUAUAUUUUAAAUACAUUUUUACUUUAGUAUGUUCAGAAAAUACUUAUGGAUACCCAUUGGAUACCCAGAUCCAUAAGGGUUUGGGUAUGGACUUACUUUUUCAAACCCAAAAGGAUCUGAAUUUGGGUCUGGAUCUAACUACAUUAAAUGGGUCUGGAUCUGGAUAAAAAAGAUCCAACCCAAACCCUACCCAUUGACAUGCCUAGUUUUUGCCUUGGGUAAGAAAAUGCCAUCGGGCCAUCAUUUUAUUUCUUUGGGCCGAACAUUACCCAAACCCAACCGAAAGUCCAAGACAAAACACACAGGCCAGCCCGUCUUUUAUCACUCAAAUCCAACCAAAAUAAAGCAUGGGUCUGACCUUCUAGCCCAACCGAAAAUAAGAAACAAGCCCACCAAAAAAAAUACAAAUUAGCCCAACCCACAUUCCUUUUUUCUUUUCUUUCCUUUCUUUUCUUUUUCUUCUUCUCUUUUAUUUCUUCUUCCUCCACUUCCCAUCCGUUCCUUUUUCUUCUUUCCGUUCAAAAAAAAUUAUCAAAAUCCACACCCCAACUCGAUUUUUCGCGUAGAUUCCAUUUUUGGGCUUAGUUUUUACAAAAAAUGAAUUAAAAGUGGCAAAAUGGCCAAAAAACAGCCCAGUUUUUAUUUUUUUAAACCACUAUAAUCACUACUAAAAUAAAAAAAUUUACACUACAACACUCCUUAUGAAUUCUAUAAUGUAACUAUGAGCCGAAAUCACUGAAAAGCAACAACAAUGUAGUAAAAUUAAAGCAAAAACAUUCCAAAAAUAAAAAAAAAUCCUUCAAUGCUUUUAAGGCUCAAAAACUCCAAAAAUUUUGGAUAAUCAAACAUUUUCGGACCUUGUGCCAGCUACAAUCAUCUAUUUUGAUGGGAAAAUGCACAAAAGAUUCAUUAACUUAACUCAUAUUUUCAUUGUGGCAUUUUAUCAAACACAAACAAGGCAUUUGCAAGGCCAUUUCUCUUUUCUUAAUUUUUAUUCAUGGCUUAUCCCAAAUUUCAGCAACCCGUUCAACAAAAGAAAACACGAAAAGCAAGAGAAGAUUAAGCAAUGAAGCAUGGAUUUAAUAUGAUAAAAAAAACUGAAAAUAUACCUCAAUAAAUAUGGCAAUCCUUCGGUUGAAGUUUUAGAUGCAAUUUUCAACUUCAAUCCAACCGGUUGCUGCCCCUUUUUUGAUAUUGUGUGUGGAUGUGUUGGGAGAAAAGGGAGGGAACCGAGAGGGGAGUUGGGAGUUGGAGUGGUUCUUUUUUUUUUGUCUUCUUUUCUUGCCUUUUGAGGGAGAGAGCCGAGAGUGAGAAUGAGAGUUUGUGUGUUGGAAGUGUGCUGAAAAAUUUUCUUUUCUUGAGGAGAGAAGGGCUGAGAGUUAGAUGAAGAUUUUUUUCUUUUUGUGGCUUGUCUGUUGGGAACCAAAGAAAGGGCCGAAAGUGACUUGGGAGGAGAAAGAGUGCUUUGCUUCUCUUUUUUUUUUUUUGUGUUGUGUCUGACUUGUGAGGGAGAGAGUCGAGGGAUGUAUUUUGAGCCAAAAAGUGGACUUUGUGUGUUAGGUUCACCAAAAUGAUGAUUUUCUCCACGUAAUGAAAAGAAAGGUGCAUGGGCUAAAAUGAUGAAUUUUUUACCAAAAAUGAGAAGAAAUGUUAAUGAGGAUGGAGUGUAGAAAUGGGUUAAUAGUGAUUUUGGUAAAACAAAAUGAUUUUGAUUUCUUGAUUUUCUUCUUUUUUCAUUUUUUUCUUUUCCUAAAACAAACCUGCAAAAAUGAGAAAAUUACGCAUUAAAAUGUAAAAAAAAUAAAUAACUUAUCAAAUAGAUAAAAAUUCAAGAAAAUAUUAAAAAUUGACAAAAAUUUGGUGUCUACAGCUUGCCCCUCUUUGUCUAGAGUUUCGAAAAAAUUCAAGACAAAGACGUAGAUGCCAAAUUGUUUACCUGUUUCUUCCAACUGUACCUGAGCUAAAAUAUCAAGCCAAUAUUUGGCUAAAAUUAUUUGGACAAAAAUGAUGCAAUAAUGUUGCAAAAGACAUGAUCGAACUCAUAUAGUAUCCCACCAUGGGGAAUCAGGUCAAACGUAGUUCGAAUACAAGUGAACCACAAUGAAACAAAUACAUUGACCAUGUGUGAUCUUUGCAAAAUCGAAGAAGUCUAAGCUCUCAGAACUUCUGAACAUGAAAUACAAAAUGUAUGAUAAAGCACAAUUAUUAAUCAAAAUAGUCAAAGAAAGUGGGUUGUCAUGAUUUAGAAAAAGAUGCGCGGAGAGACACAGUUACGCUCCAAGAAUGGGGAUAGAAGGGUGCGCAACGGACGCUGAGACUCUCCAACAGGAAAUUAAGUUUGAUUGUCAGGAAAUAACAGAUAGGUGAGAUAAGAUCCGAGUCCAAUAAAAUAAAACGGUCAGUGGGAUGAAACCCAAACCUGCCGAGAUUGGUGGGAUAAAAUCCAAAUCCAACGACAUAAAACGGUCGGUGGGAUAAAAUCCGAACCUGUAGAGAUUGUUGGGAUAAAACCCAAACCCAACGAAAUAAAAACGGUCAGUGGGAUAAAAUUCGAGCCUGUCGAGUUUGAUGAGAUAAAAUUCAAACCCAAUAAAAUAAAACGGUCAGUGGGAUAAAACCCAAGUCUGCCGAGAUUGGUGGGAUAAAACCCAAACCCAACGAAAUAAAAACAGUCAGUGAGAUAAAACCCGAGCCUGCCAAAGUUGGUGGGAUACAACCCGAGCCCAACGAAAUAAAAACGGUCAAUGGGAUAAAAUCCGAACCUGCCGAGAUUGGUGGGAUAAAACCCAAACUUGCCAAGGUUGGUGGGAUAAAAACGGUCAGUGGGAUAAAACCCGAACCUGCCGAGUUUGGUGGGAUAAAAUUCAAACCCAAUAAAAUAAAAUGGUCAGUGGGAUAAAACCCAAACCUGUCGAGAUUGGUGGGAUAAAAUCCAAAUCCAACGAAAUAAAAACAGUCACUGGGAUAAAAUUCGAGCCUGCCGAGGUUUGUGGGGUUGGUGGGAUAAAAUUCAAAUCCAAAUCCAACGAAAUAAAAACAGUCACUGGGAUAAAAUUCGAGCCUGCCGAGAUUUGUGGGGUUGGUGGGAUAAAAUUCAAACCCAACAAAUUAAAAACGGUCAGUUGGAUAAAAUUCGAGCCUGCCGAGGGUGGGAUAAAAUCCAAACCCAACAAAAAUAAAAACGAUCAGUGGGAAAAAACCCGAGCCUGCCGAUGUUGGUGAGAUAAAAUCCAACCCCAACAAAAAUAAAAACGGUUAGUGGGAUAAAAUUCGAGCCUGCCGAUGUUUGUGGUAUAAAAUUCAAGUCCAAUGAAAUAAAAAUGAUCAGUGGGAUAAAACCCGAGCCUGCCAAGGUUGGUGGGAUAAAAUCCAACCCCAACGAAAUAAAAAACAGUCUUGAAAUAACUUUUGAAAUCGCAAUUUUUCAAAAUUUGCCUCGGUGUAGGGCUCCUUUUUUUUUACUCUUUUUUUUUCAAAGCUGAUUUGGAAUGCAUUACCAAAAUUGGAGCUUACUCCUUUUGAUAUUUGCCCCAGUAUAAAUCAUGUUUAACAAAGGCCACAUUUCUCAUGUUUUCGGGAAGGCAAAAAGAGUGAUCACAAAAUACCACCACCAUGUGAUCUCUUUGGCCUUGAGAACCAUGUAAGCAUGAUCUUUCGAUGUCAAAACUACUCCUCAAGAGUUGUGCUGCAACUUAUGUUGAAUCUUCUCAAUUUUCUAUAAUCAGUCAGCUAUACUCCACUAUGUAUCACAAAACAUCUGUUUCUAAUGACCAGAUUUGAAUGAAUGGCCCUUGAAAAAGAAAGAUGUCACAUUUGACCCCUUUUGAUGUCGUCCAUCUCAUUUGCCGAAUGAUUAAAAAAAAUUUUCCUUAAAAAAAACUACAAAAAGUGGAGGCCGGUAAUGUUUUGCUUUUGUAAUGAACUCCGAUGGAGUGUGAAGAAAAGGUUAAAUGUUAAAGAUCCAUCAUGAAAUAGGUUGAAAAUGAUCCUAAGAUUGCAACCUUCCAAAACUUGCCCCAAUAUAGGCCUAAUAAGAACUAAAAAUUUGCCCCAAUUUAACUCUAAUUGGGCUUCUCUUUUCUUCUCUUCGUUUUUUCCUUUUUUUUUGCAUGUCUCUUUUCUUGCUUUAUUUCCUUUUUUUUUUUAAAACGAAGACCAAAAAAUUGCCCUAGUGUGGGGCUUACGAUCUUGAGAGGCUUAACCCCAUCUCUUGCAGUAAUUUUAGAAGAAAAUUUUCAUAAUCAGAUGAAAAUUUUUUUGCACAUGUUUGAGUUGAUUGGUCAAGAGAAAAUUGGCUCAUCCAUCUCCAUGAGAAUAAGCGCUUCUCCAGAUAGCAUUCUUUGAACAAUAAAUGGUCCUUGCCAAGUUGGAUCAAACUUUCAUUUAACCUCCUCUUGAAUCAGAAUAAUUCACUUUAAAAUUUUAUCCCUUAUUUCAAAUAAGCAAGAUUUGUCUUUGUUGUCAUAACCAACGAACCAUCCUUUGUUGACAGGCAUUGUCCAUGGCAGGUAACAUUCAACCUUUUUUUUUUAUCCAUCAAAGACAGCAACUCAUUGUGCUUCUUGAUCCAUUUAAUUUCUUUUACCUGAGUUUUCGUCAAAAUGUGCAAGGACGGGAUCUCAAUUUUGGCAGGUAUUAUCACUUCCAUUCGAAGCAUAAGGUGCUGCCCCAACUUAGAAAUGUAAUCUCCAAGUGAAAUGCUUCCAAAGUUCAAUAGCAAAAAUUAGCAAAAUUGAAGGAAGAACUCUCUUUUUUUUUCACUUUUUUUUUGUUGCUGAAUUAUAUACUCCUUCUAAAUAAAAAGAAACUUCUCCACUUUCCAAUGUAGUAUUAUUGCCCCCGUUUUCAUUCGUUAUUACCUUCCAAAUUUGCAAGAUUUUGACUUGCGUCUUUUUUCUCGAUUUUAACCAUAAACACCUGCACAAGGAAGGAUUUUUCAAAACACUUGAAUUUUUCAGAAUUCUUUUUCUUUUCUUUUCCCUUUUUUUUUGAGCAAUGAUGUAACAAUUAAGGUUCAUGCAAAGUGUUGACUUAUCAAAAUUUGAAAAAUAUACUUGACCUUGGACAUACCCUACAAAUGUAUUAUAAAAUUUUAUCUCAAUUUAAAUCUAUUUGACAAAAUCUCACAAAUAUAUUACAAAAAAUUUGUCCCAAUUUGGGCCUAUUAUAAAAUUUUAUUCGAGUGAUUCUCCAUUUAUUUGGACAAAACAAGAAAACUGUUUUUUUUUUCAAAAUUUAGAAAACUAACAUGCAAUGUGAGUUGAUGUACAAUAGAAAAUGCAUUUUUUCACUAAAAAAAACUUUAAAUGUCAUGUAGAAAACUCUAUGAUAAAUCUCUCAAAACAAAAUCAAAUUGCAAAAGAUCUCUUCCUCAUUUUGGGAUCGGUGUUGAGGAAAUAGGAUCCUUUUCUUGUUAGCUUAUCUUUUAGAACCAAUCAAAUGGAUAUUAUUCAUGAUUUUGAGGUGGCUCAGGGAAAUAGUAUGUCAGGAUCUGUCUCUUUUUUUUGUGCCCAAAUUGUGUCUAACCCAUUCAAUAUCACAUCUCGGUGAAAGCAAAUAGUUUAUCACUCUUAUUUCUUGAGAAAACUCAGUCAACAUAUAAACUCUAUAGACUUGUAAUGUAUGGGUAGAAACGAUAACUAAACAUAUGGAAACAAGUUAUGGUCUUAUGAUCAUGAGUGAAUGGUAGGCUCCUCAGAGGCAAGAUUUUCACUUCAAAUUGUCAUGAAAGAUAAGUCAGCAAUGGAUUUUAUGAGCUUGUAAUGUGGCUUAACAACGAUAGCUAAAAGAAAUAAAAUUUUCAAGGACAACGUACUUAAAAUCGCAUUCCUUCCAAAAAAUUGUCCCAGUUUUGGACUCAAAACACGGGACCCCAUUUUGACUCCUUUUUUUUAAUCAAUCUCUAGAGGGAAUUUAGCAUUGGAUGUCUUUGCAUUUUUCCUUUCAUUUCAUCAUUUUUUUUUCACAUUUUUCUUUGUUUCUAUCUCUCUCUCCUUUUUUUUUUUUUUUUUUACAAUACUGAUAUCCCAAAUGUCAAUGAUAGAAUUGAAAACUCCCUAAUUUUGGAGUAUAGAUGGCCCCUCUUUCUUUUCGAUAUUGAAGACCAAAUAUCAAUGGUAAAGUCAAAUUCCCCCAACUUGUAGUUUCUCUCUUUUCUUCUUUAUUUUUUUUUUCAAAUCUCCUUCCCCAAUGUGAGGGUGCGAUCAUAAUAUUUUUGAAAUGAACCACCAAUUUAAGCUCAAAUAAGGAUACAAAGGAUAAAAAGUGUUUAGAUGGUAGAAACGAUGGCCAGCGCAUCAUUUUUAUUUCUCAUGACAACCAAAGUAAAGAAUAGCCGGUUGGGAAAAUCCAUUUCCUUUUGACAUUUGAAAAUUUUUCCAUAUAGGGUCAUGAUCAUUGAGACUUUUAUUUGAAACGAAAUUCUAUUUUUUUAAAGUCUCAAAUGGGAAAAUAAAUGAUAAAAUCUGUAUAGAUAGAGAAACGAAAGCCUAAAGUAUCAUCCAAAUUUUCAAAACAAAUAAGAAGUAAUGUACAUUUUUUGCUUUCACUCAGAUGUGGAUUGAAUUUGGUUAGACACACUGGACAUUUUCACGGUAAAAAUUGUCUCACUUUGAAGCUACUCAACCAAUGCGACUGACUUUUGAGGUUCAAUAGAAGUGGACAAAAAAAAUGAAAAAGAAAAGUGUCUUGGUUGAUCUUUUAUGACAAACUAUCAAAUUUGUGUGACCCCUUUUGUUUUCGACUACUCUCAUUGAAUAGUUUAGACCACAAAUUUAGUGUAUACAAAGAAUUUUAGAAAUUGGACAUACACUCAUGAAUUUUUAAACAAGAGGUCGAAAAAUCUCAAUUCAGUCUUAUUUCUUAGAAUUUAUCAUGAAAUCUCUCAAUGAGCAAAUAAAGAAUGAAUAUAUACAAAAAAUAAUUAUUUAAAUAAAAAAUUUAUUAUUCCAAUGUGUGAAAAUUUUUUUUUUGUACUCAAAUAUAAUACAUAUGAGAAAAGAAAAAUCUCUAAAGAAUACAUAUAUAUAUAUAUAUAUACACUUUCUUUCUAUCUGUUGAGACAAAAUGUAUUAGAAAUAAUGAAUCAAGAGAUUUUUGAAAUACUUUAGACUGGCAUUUUCAGAUGGAUUUUUUCAUUUUUUUUUUCAUUGUAGGAUCUGUCCAAAAAUCAAGUAAUACUUGUAAUUUUCAAAAUUUAUCAGAUAUAGAAAAAAACACUUUUUACUCUAUUGAAACAUCUUUUAUAAAUAUGAAAGAUGGGAAAAAAUAAAAGAAAAAUACCCAGAAUUAAUAAGCAAAACUGUAAAAUCAGUAUGCAUGUCCUAUAGGGGAGCCCUUUUAUGCCAAGGGUUGACCUAGCAUAAAAAAUGAAAUCCUCUGAGGUAGGCACCAUACAAUACCUGAUGCAUCCGAUCGACUUAUUGAGAUUCGAAUAAAAGGCAAUUUUGAAAAAUUUGGCUAAUUGAAAUGACAAGAGACAAUUUGUCCUAACAAAAUGAGAACAAAGUUCGAAUGGAUUGAUUGCUUUGAUUAACACAUAAAGUGAUAUUAAAAAUCAAUUUAGUGUGAAAAACUUAUUUUUGAAAGGAUUGAAAUGUCUUAACUAGUUUCUUUGGUGAACCAUAGAUCGAAACUUUAAAAGAGAAUAAACGGGUUAAAUGGAUCGAAUGAAAUUGAUGGUUAGUUUAAAAAUUGACUGGAUUAUCCUAAAAGUGAAUAAAACUAAUCAAAUGGAUUGGAUGAAAUUGAGGAUUUAAAAAAAUUGACUAAAUGAAUAAUGAAUUGGAUGGAAUUGAUGAUUUAUUCAAAAUUGAUUGUAUUGUCCCAAAAAUGAAUAAAUUGGUCAAAUGGAUUGGAUAGAAUUGGCGGUUUAUUCAAAAAUCGACUAGAUUGCUCCCCCAUUUGUAGUUCCAAAACUUACAAAAUUUGUUGCAAUGCAUUAGUCUAUGAGCCUUCUAAAAUCAAGAUUUGACCUCAAUAUAUUUAUCAUCUCAACAAUGAGGAAUUAUUUGUGAAUUUCUUCAAUUUAAUGUCCUUUAUGCAAGGGAUUUUACCAGCAUUGACAAAAUAGCCAAAAAAUGAUUAUUAAAGGCUCAUAUUCUAAUGCGCAAAAACUGUUUCAUCAUUCUCAAUGUCGUCAUCGUGGAAAGGACCAGAUCAUACCUUACCUUGUGCACUACCUUUUUGGAUGGUAAUAAAAUGUAAACGUGCAAGUCUCAUUGGAUUACAUAUUCGAGACACAAGGUGGCUUAUUCCUAACGUGGGAUUUCCUAUGCGGCAUUCCCUCUAAGGUUGAUGCAUGAUACCAGUUUAUUAAAGCAAGUAAAUAUGUGAUAAUAGGAAUUAAACGUGAUCUAAAUGAACCCUUUUAUAUGCCAGGGUAGGCCUAAAAAUGAAAUGCAAGAACUUAUAAUUUAAACGUGUGCGAAUCUAUCUACAAAGGUGGAUUCUAAAAAGAAUACCAUAUCAUAACUCUUAUUAUCUAAAGUUGGUGAAUGCACAAAAAAAGAAAACAAAAAGAGGUUAGUACAACAAAUAACACAUAACACAUUGGAGCAAUUAAUGAUACAAAAAUAUAAAGUAAAGAAUGAGGGGUAGAAUCCCUCCUCUCGUGUCUAAUGUUCCUAGUUGGGUAAGGUCGACUCUAUCUUAGGUAAUUUCUAAUAUGGAUGCAUGAGGUUUGCCUUACUAAUGCAUCUAAACUCGAUAAAGUUUCAGGUUUCCAAGCCUUCAGACAAAAGGGCGAAGGGUCCUCAAUUCCAAAGCCCUUAGUCGGUGGCUUGAGUAAUCCCCCAGAUAUUCCUACGUGCACGUCGUGCCACGGCCACAUGUCCAAGUGGAUCGAUCCUAAUCCUAACAGGGAGGAGUGGUGUGACAACCACAAAAAAGAAAAUAAUAUAAAGGGUUAAAAGAAAUAACGUAUGCACGUAUGAAGUGCUCCUUUGAGAGGAGGGAGUAAUACCAUUAAAUAUGCUUGAAGGCUCUAGAGUGAUAUUUCCCCCCACUCAAAAUGCAAAACGCGAUAAAUAAACAAAAGUAAAUAAAUAAACCAUUCAUCACAUACACGAAAAAUGACAAACAAAUACGAAUGUGAAAUGCAAAACAUCCUAAAAAUGAGGAAAAAGAAAAAGUAAAAGAAAUAUGCAACCUAAACAUCCAAAUAUGAUAAGUGAAAGAGUUAGAAAGAGAAAAGACAACUAAACCAAGUGCUUGGACUCUCUAACGUCCCCAGUGGAGUCGCCAAGUUGUCGCGCCCCAUUUUUUCGCGAUUAAAAAUAAAUAUUUAGAAAAUAUGUGAUUUAUUUAAAAUAAGUGAAAAAGAAUCUAAAAUGGAACUUUAAAAAAUGCGACAAUUUGGAUCCAAAUUAGUCAAAAAGAGCUUUUAAGAAAAAUAGGAGUCGCCACUUGAUAUUGAGUUCGGGAGUACCAAGUCACCAAAAAAAUAUUUUUGAUAAAAAUAAAAUAAAAUAAAACCCUUUUCGACAACUCCAGAUCUUUGAAAAACAAGAGAAAAUGAGUUUGGGAGUCACGGUUGAAGAAAGGGAAGGCAAAGGUUCAAUUAACUCAAACCUAAGGCACCCUUUCAACCUAGAAGAAUGAAGGUAAUUCAAGAGAGUGUUCAGAACAACUAGAACCUCCAUGAAGAAGAUUAUAAAUAAGGAACGGCUAGGGCAAUUGGGAGGAAAAAGAAAAAUGAAGUCAUUACAACAAGAGAUAGAACCAAUAGAUGAAGAUGCUGCAGAUAACCCAAAGGUGAAAGCAAUGAAAAAGGAAACAAUCAACACACUAUCAACUGGGGAAUUGAAGGCUUACCCCUUUAUGCCUCCAAAGAGUAAAGAAGGUUGUGGUGUGGAAUUAUCGAGGUGCAGGAGGGCCCUUGACAAAUUUUCAAUUGAAGGAGGUUUUAAAUCUCCACUCUCCUAAUAUUGUGUUCUUUUGUAAAACAAAAAACUAGUAAAACAAAAAACUAGGAAAACUUUAUGAAAAAAGUGCAAAAGAAAAUCAAAUUUGAAAAUGGAUACAUUGUAAACUCUAUAGGUAGAGCAGGGAGAUUGGCCUUGUUUUGGAACAAUGAUGUGAAGAGAGACGAAGUGAACAGCACUAGCUGGUAUAUAGCAGCAAAAAUAAAAGACAGGGAAACUAAUUGCCAUUGGCAGCUAGUCUGCCUAUAUGCGAGUAUUGAUAGCAAUAUCAGAAAAAAAUAGUGGAAAAAAUCUUGAAAACAGGAAAAAGGAAUGGGGAAAACCUUGGAUGCUGGUGGAGGAUUUCAAUGAUAUAAGACCGAAUGGGGAGAAAUUGAGGGAGGGGGGCAGAGAGAGAGAGAGCUGAAGGAAGUCUAAGGUAUUUCAACUGCUUUAUCACAGCUAAUGAUCCUAUAGAUAUAGGAUACCAAGGGGUGCCAUGGAUGUGGAGCAAUUGUUGGGAGGGGAAUGGGGAAGUGAAGGAGAGAUUGGACAAGUGCUUAAGCAAUGCUGAAUAGAUGCAGAAGUUUGAUAAGGCCUCUUGUACACAUGUAGAAAAUGAAGCCCCAAACCACCUCAUCCUGAUCCUAGAUACUAAUCUAGAUAGACAAAAAAGAAGAAUGAGGUUUUAUUUUGAUCAAUGAUGGACUAAAAAUCCAGAAUCAAAGAAUGUGAUCAAAGGAGCAUGGGAUAAAGUACACACAGGUUCCAAAAUGUACAAAGUAACCAGGAAAAAUAAAGGAGAACAAGAUAGCCAUUCUAGAAUGGAAUAAAAGAAUGCAAGGGAAUUCAAAAGUGAAGAUCAGGGAACUGAAAAAGCAACUCAAUAAGGUGAAAACAGGAAAUGAACCAGGCAAGAGAAGCCAGAUUGUCACACCCUAUUUUUUCGCAAUGAAAAUAAAUAUUUAGAAAAGAUGUGAUUUAUUUAAAAUAAGUGAAAAAAGACCUAAAAUGGGACUUUAAAAAAUGUGACAAUUGGGGUCCAAAUUAGUCAAAAAGUGUUUUUAAGAAAAAUAGGAGUCGCCACUUGGCAUUGAAUUCGAGUGUACCAAGUCACCAAAAAAUAUUUUUGAUAAAAAUAAAAUAAAAUAAAACCUUUUUCGACAACUCCAAGUCUUUGAAAAACAAGAGAAAAUGAGUUCAGGAGUCAUGGUUGAAAAAAAGGAAGGCAAAGGUUCGAUUAACUCAAAUCUAAGGCACCCUUUCAACCUAGUCUAAGCUAGUUGCGAGGUUUAGUAAAAAAAUUUUCUUAAUCUAACUCUUAAAUUUAUCACGUUUGAAUGUUUCCUACAUGGAUGCAAAUCUAAAUUUAUAAAAUAUCGAAAGGGACAAAAUAUCCAUUCAAGGGUUUAAUUGAUACCAAUCGCAUUGAUUACGAAGGCCAAAAUAAUUCCUUGAAGGGGUCACGAGUAUGCGAAUGAUGAAAUUAAAAAGAAAAUUAAAUUAAAUUAUAUAUAGAUAUAAGUGGCCAAAGAAUAGGGAAUGCAACAUAAUGGGUAUGGGAGGCAAAACUCGUGGCAUAAUUUUUUUAUACAGGGAUUGAUGAGGUAUUUAAACUAAAGAGUUAUAAUCACUCAUUUCUCAUGUUCAAAGAAUAAUUCUCCUAAUAUGAACAAGCAAAUGAACUAACUUAUUCUACAAUUUCUUAAACGAGAUGCAAUUCUAAAUGAUAUGAUGAACACAUAUAGAGGAUAGGGGAUAAUAUAAUAGGGAAUAUCAUCCAAAUAAGAAAAGAUCCUAAAAAUGAAAAUAUGCAUGAAAAUGUAAUGAAUAUCACCCAAAGAUGAAUCUAAUGCGUGAAUAAUCUAAGAGUCUAGCGCUGGAUUAACCCAUUUCCAAAAAUCCUUACUAGCGUUGGACUAGUGUGAUGACGUCAUGCAUUCUUAAUAUAUAGUAAGACAAAUAGGCAUAAAUUGAAACAAAUAAACAUGUAAGAGCACGUAGCACAUAACGCAUAAACAAAAUAUCUAGAUGCAAAAAUCCUAAGAAAAGCGGAUAAAGCACAUAAUACAUAAGCCACAUAAACACGCAAAAACCUAUCUAUUACUGUGGGGAAUCUAACUACAGUCUAAAAUGAGAAAAUAAAAUAAAACAAAUCUAAUUAUCCUAUCUAUUACAUUUUUGAGGUAUUUAAAUGCCUCUCAAAUAAUUAUAAAAAUUAACUAAACAAAUAUAAGAAAAUUUGAAUGAACAUUUAAAUCAAAUAAAUAAAGCGUAUAAAAAUAUAUAAACACAUAGGAACACGUAGGAGCACAUAAGAGCAGGUAAUUGACAUUUAAAUAAUAAUAGGGGUACCUCCCUUUUGAAGUGGUGACUAAAUGGAAGUUAAAUUACCUUAUUUAUACUCAAAAUGAACAAAAGAAUCAUGACACCAAUUUAAUUGAAAAUAAUAAUAAUGAUAAAAAUACUAAAUUCACCUUAACAUGUCAAAUGUAAAGAAAUUUAAGAACAUCUAAAAUUACAAGUUAAAUAUACUCAAAAGUAACAUAAUUAGCUAUUAAAGAAAAGAAACAAUUAUAAUAAAGAGAGUCAAAAUUCACUAGGGACUGAAUUGCAAAAAUUGAAAAAUUUUUGAGGCUAAAAAUGUAAUUUUUCAAAGUUUAGGAGCCAAAAUUAAAUAAAAGAUAAAGUGUAGGGACCAAAAUAUAAUUAAUUUAAGGAUCUAAGUGAAAGAAAUUAAAAAUGUUCUGGGCCAAACUACAACUACUCCAAAGAUCAGGGGCUAAAGUGAAAAUUUCGGUUUCUGCCUUGGGUAAGAAAAGGCCAUCGGGCCAUCAUUUUAUUUCUUUGGGCCGAACAUUACCCAAGCCCAGCCGAAAGUCCAAGACAAAACACACAGGCCAGCCCAUCUUUUAUCACUCAAACCUAACCAAAAUAAAGCAUAGGUCUGACCUUCUAGUCCAACGGAAAAUAAGAAACAAGCCCACAAAAAAAAAUAAAAAUUAGUCCAACCCACCUUCCUUUUUUUCUUUUCUUUCCUUUCUUUUCUUUUUCUUCUUCUCUUUUCUUUCUUCUUCCUCCACUUCCCAUCCGUUUCUUUUUCUUCUUCUUCGGCCAGCUAAAGAAGCUUCAGCUGGUGGCCAUGGCGGCUGUCGGCGCCAGUCGUCGGCAAAUUUUUUUCGAUCAUAAAAAAUUAUCAAAAUACAUAACCCAAUUCGAUUUUUCGCGUAAAUUUCAUUUUUGAGUUUAGUUUUUACAAAAAAUGAACCAAAAGUGGCGAAAUGGGCAAAAAACAGCCCAGUUUUUAUUUCUUUUAAACCACUAUAAUCACUACUAAAAUCUCAAAAUUUACACUACAACACUCCUUAUGAAUUCUAUAAUGCAACUGUGAGCUGAAAUCAAUGAAAAGCAAUAACAAUGUAGCAAAAUUAAAGCAAAAAAUAAAAAAAAAACCUUCAAUGCUUUUAAGGCUCAAAAACUCCAAAAGUUUUGGAUAAUCAAACAUUUUCGGACCUUGUGCCAGCUACAAUCAUCUAUUUUGACGGGAAAAUGCACAAAAGAUUCAUUAACUUAACUCAUAUUUUCAUUGUGGCAUUUUAUCAAACACAAACAAGGCAUUUGCAAGGCCAUUUCUCUUUUCUUAAUUUUUAUUCAUGGCUUAUCCCAAAUUUCAGCAACCCAUUCAACAAAAGAAAACACCAAAAGCAAGAGAAGAUUAAGCAAUGAAGCAUGGAUUUAAUAUGAUAAAAAAAACUGAAAAUAUACCUCAAUAAAUAUGGCAAUCCUUCAGUUGAAGUUUUAGAUGCAAUUUUCAGCUUCAAUCCAACCAGUUGCUGCCCCUUUUUUGAUAUUGUGUGUGGGUGUGUUGGGAGAAAAGAAAGGGAAUCGAGAGGGGAGUUGGGAGUUGGGAGUUGGAGUGGUUCUUUUUUUUUUUGUCUUCUUUUCUUGCCUUUUGAGGGAGAGAGCCGAGAGUGAGAGUGAGAGUUUGUGUGUUGGAAGUGUGCUGAAAAUUUUUCUUUUCUUGAGGAGAGAAGGGGCGAGAGCUAGAUGAAGAUUUUUUUCCUUUUUGUGGCUUGUCUGUUGGUAACCAAAGAAAGGGCCGAGAGUGACUUGGGAGGAGGAAGAGUGCUUUGCAUCUCUUUUUUUUUUGUGUUGUGUCUGACCUGUGAAGGAGAGAGCCAAGGGAUGUAUUUUGAGCCAAAAAGUGGAUUUUGUGUGUUAGGUUUAUCAAAAUGAUGAUUUUCUCCACCUAAUGAAAAGAAAGGUGCAUGGGCUAAAAUGAUGAAUUUUUUUAUCAAAAAUGAGAAGAAAUGUUAAUGAGGAUGGAGUGUAGAAAUGGGUUAAUAGUGAUUUUGGUAAAACAAAAUGAUUAGAAUGAUUUUGAUUUCUUGAUUUUCUUCUUUUUUUUUCAUUUUUUUCUUUUCCUAAAACAAACCUGCAAAAAUGAGAAAAUUACGCAUUAAAAUGUAAAAAAAUAAAUAACUUAUCAAAUAGAUAAAAAUUCAAGAAAACAUUAAAAAUUAACAAAAAUUUGGUGUCUACAUAAAUUGCAGAGAUAAAAACUCAACUGAGCAAAGCAUAUAAGGGGGAAGAAUUGUUUUGGAGUUAGAAAUCAAGAAGUAGAUGGCUCAAAGAAUGUGACAGAAAUACAGCCUUCUUCCAUACAAGUGUGAUGACAAGAAGGAAAAGAAACAAGAUCAGUACUCUGUAGAAACAAGAUGGAACCUAGUGUAAGACUGAACAGGAAAUUGAAAAGGAGCUUAGUAAGUACUACAAGAACCUUUUCACCACUACCAACCCUAACAAGUUUGAGGAUAUAUUAGCAAAGGUCCCCUUGUCACUACUUUUUUGAGCUAACAGGUAUCAAAUUUGCAGAGAUUGCCCUCCUAUUUCACAUUUGCUCUUUGCAGAUGACUCCUUACUGUGUUGCAAACAAACAAAGAAGAGGUGUUGAAAGUGAAAGAUAUGCUGACAAAAUAUGGCAAAGGCUCUAGACAAGUGGUGAACUUUGACAAGUUAGCAAUUUCUACAGUAGAAACACCACUAAUCAGACAAAAUAGGAGGUGAGUGAAGGAUUGGACAGCAUGAGAGAGGCAACAAAAGGGACAUACUUGGGGCUACCUAUGGCCAUUGGAAGAUCAAAAAAGCAGGUGUUUGCCUUUGUAAAGAGUAAAAUCAGUAACAAGUUGCAAGGAUGGAAACAGAGGCUACUACACCAAGGAGGAAAGGAGGUACUUAUCAAAUUAGUCAUAAUGGCCAUGCCAACAUAUGUAAUGGCAUGCUUUAGACUCCUUAAAGGAUUGUGCAGAGAGAUCACAUCAAGGAUUGCAAGGUUCUGGUGGGGAAAUGAGGAGAAGGAGACUUGUGUGCAUUGGGCAAGUUGGAAGAAACUCUCAGAAGUAAAGGGAAGAGAGGGAAUUGACUUCGAGGACUUAGAGGCCUUUAAUAUUGCCUUGCUUGCAAAGCAAAUUUGGAGAUUCUUAACUACUCCAAAUUUGCUAGUAAGCAAGGUAAUGAAGCAAAAUACAUGAAGGACCCUAACUGGAUAGAGAAAGAACCCCCAACUCAGCAUCAUGGAGUUGGAAGAGCAUACACAGUGCCAGAACACUACUGUUUGCUGCCUUAUGGAAGAGAGUUAGAGAUAGAAGUAGAGUAAACAUAUGGAAGGACAAAUGGAUAAUCGGAUCAGAGAAAGGUGAAAGUGACCUUUGAAAAACUUGAGGAUUGCUAGUUGGAAUGGGUAAGUGAGCUGAUAGAAGGGGAGAAAUGGAAAAAAGAAACUCUGCAACAAUGGUUUUGCAGAAAAGAUGCUGAACUGAUUGAGAGCAUUCCUAUAGUAUACAUCAAAGAAAGGACAAAGUAUUUUGGAAAUUCUCCAUAACUGGAACAUACACAGUAAAGACUGGAUAUGCAGUGUCAAAAUAGGAAUGUGAUCAGCACUGAGCCAAAGAAAGAAUCAAUGCUAAAACUAGUUAGGAGAUAAGAAAACAUAGUGUUUGGAAAAAGUUAUGGUAAUUGAAUGUAAAGGCCAAUUUGGAACAUUUUAUGUGGAAAUGCCUGCAAAACUGCGCACCAGUAAACGAGAUUACAUUCAAAAGGUUAGGACAAGAGGAGAGAAGAUAUGACUGUUGUGGGGAGGAUGUUGAAACCAUAGAACAUUUGUUCUUCUUUUGUACAAAUGCAGCACUGGUCUAGAAACUGGCUCUAGUGAGAUGGGAUGGAUUGAAAGACAAACAGCAUAACUUGUGGCUCUGGUGGGAAACGGCCAUGCAAACAAUCUUAAAGGAAUAAGGUUAGGAUCAAAUAAACCUCACCAUUAACAUCUUCUGGCAAAUUUGGAAAGCUAGGAACAAAAAAAUGUUUGAAGACCCUAAUUCGGAUCCUAGCAGGAAAAUACAAAAAGCACAAGGUGAUUGGAUCGAGUAUGAAUAGGCAAGAGAAACAGAACAAGAAAACACUGCACUACAUGUUAAUAGUAAGACACAAGUCAGAAGAGAGCCACCAAAGAAAAAUGUGAUAUACUUGUAUCCAAAUGCUACAAUCUCUGUAAGAAUGAUUAGAACAGGCCAAGGGAUAAUUGCAAGAAACUGGAGGGGAAGGAUUGUGAAGGCAAAAGGGAUAGCGAACCAAAGAAAAGAAGAUGCAAGAAAGGAAGAAACUCUUGCAGUAAGAAAUGUAAUGGUAAUGGUCAAAAUGCAGGUGAAUUUCUCAGAAUAAUGUUAAAAUAAAAUAUUAUCACAAAAGUAGUGUUUCGUAGGAAGUGUUUCUAUCAUAAGAGUCGCCGCAAGUCACAAUAUCAGCUUAAAGGUUGUUCGAUUUAUUUUUUCAUUUUUUUUCUCACAGCUUAAGAAUUUUUGAAGUUAAGAUUUUCUGUUACAUUUUUUAAUUUUUGAAGUUAAGAUUUUAGUUGUGAUUUGAAGAAGUAGGAAAAAAUGUUUUUUUAAAUCUUUUGCCCCAAUACUAAUUUGUUGCUAACGAAUUAAAAUAUUUUUUCCUUAACCGCACAUUUGAUUUGCGGCUGUUUGAAAAAGUUUUUCUUUAACCGCACAUCCGAUGUACGGAAUUUGCGGCGAUAGAGAAAAGUUUUUUGACUGGUCAAACCAUACAACUAUUACUCGGCAACACACUAUUACUUGGGAAGAUACAACUAUUACUCGGCAAUAUACCUAUGUUUUCAGACUCGGACCGGGCAUCGACUCGGUCGUCCUCAGGGGUCAGGGGUCAGGGGUCAAUGGGUUCGAUCGGGGUUUAAUCGGAUGACGCCAUAAAUAAAAAUUAUUUAAAAAUUAAAAUAUUAUAUGUAAAAUACUUAAGAACAUAUUAAUAUUAAUACAUGUAUAUUCAUAUAUAUUUGAUACUUCAACUAUAUUGGUCAGGGGUCAAUGGGUUCGAUCGGGGUUUAAUCGGAUGACGUCAUAAAUAAAAAUUAUUUAAAAAUUAAAAUAUUAUAUGUAAAAUACUUAAGAACAUAUUAAUAUUAAUACAUGUAUAUUCAUAUAUAUUUGAUACUUCAACUAUAUUUAACAAGAAAACACAAAAAAUUAGAAUGAUCAAGUAGCAAUUUAUAUUACUCAACGAACAUUAACAAGUUUAUAAUUAAAAUUAUGAAUUUGAUUGAAAAAUAACACCAAACUUUAGGACAAUAUUUAUAAAGUAUGAAAUAUUUGAGGUAUAUUAAUAAUUUUUAAUAACUUAGGAGCCAAAACAUAAUAUUCAAAUUGCUUUGACCUUUAAAAAAAAAAAUUUUGGGCGGCAGGACUUAGAGGCUGAGGUCUCCAACUCUGCUGCGCAUGUCAUGUCAGAUCCCUGCUUCAAUUAAGAAGGCCCCAUUAUAUCUUUCCAUCGGGCCCACCAAGAUCCCAUCGCUGGUUCGUAAGAAAGAAGAACAAAAAAGAGAAGGCUUUGUAUCAAGCCGGUUCAUCCGGUUUGCCGGUCAAACCCUGUCAAAUUUGGUUUUUGACCGGAUUUGACUGAGUUUUAAACAUCCGAUUUUUUAGAGUAACUCGGACCGGACAUUUGACCGGUUUCCGGUUCGACUGGUCGGACCGGCCGGUCCGGUCCAAGUUUAAAAACACAGCAAUAUACUUGGGAAAAUUCGUGGAGGCAAUACACUAUUACUGGCCAUUGUUCGAUUCGCUGGGUGCCUGCUACGGGGAGGAGAGUGAAGAAAGGCAAGUAGUGGUGCAGCAACUCCUGUCGAGGGAGAUACGGAAUGUGCUAGCUGUUGGUGGUCCGUCAAGAAGCAGCGACAUCAAGUUCAACAAUUGGAGGAGAAGCUUCAGCAGUUAGGCUUAAAGGGUAUCACUUUGGCUGCAGCCCAGGCCACCCUUUUGCUUGGAAUGUUUCCUUUAGAUGGGUACACCUUAGUUGAGGACAACGGCACCCUUAAGCUUGGGUGGGGGGACCUGUGCUUGCUCAUUGCAUCUGCAUGGAGGCCCUCCUAAAUCAUGCUUCUGCUGAAAGUCCUCCAACAUCCACGCUUCUCUCCACUAAUUUUCCAUGGAUUAGCAGUUGCUAUCCUUUAUCUUUUCACUAGCUACCUUUUAUUUUUCAUUUUUUUCCUUUUGUAAUUCUCAGAAUCAACGUGGUCUACCUUUCUAAAUCGAAUACUUACGUCGCCUCAGCGAAGAUCUUUGUUCUUUGCUUGAGGAUCAACCCGAAAGUCUGAAAUUUACGUUGCAUUUAAUGACGAAGUGAUAAAACCAAAGUAUUAAAAAAUGGAUGAUUUGGCCAAAUUUCAUUUUUGAUUAGUUUUGUAUUUUCAAUUGUAACCUUAACGAAUUUUUAACGGCAUAACAAAGGAAUUGCUGCACCUGAGCUUUGCGGUGAUUCUUUUUUAAUAUAAUAUUCUUCGCCUCUCAUUUCUCGAGUGGCGAAACUUUUCUAAAAAAAAAAUCCGCUCCAUUAACUUUAUUGGCAAAAAAAAUUGAAAAUUAAAACAAUUUGUUUAUGAAGCCUGACUUCUUAUUUGCGGCAACCCUUCAAUCAGACACACCCCUCAACUAACACCACUUUUGUGAUAAUUUUUUAUUUUAACAUUAUUUCGAGAAAUUCGCCCCAAAAUGCAAGGUGGACUAAAAUAGUAGUUCACAGAUUACAAGUCAGUUGUAGAUCAGAUUAAUAGCUGCAAUGACUAUGAAUACAACAUUGCAACUAUUUUGGAAGACGUUCAGGAACUAAAAGCAGAUUUUGAAAACUGUCAUUUCUUUUUUGUAACUAGAUUAGAAAAUGAAAUCAGCCAUAGACUUAGCACAAGAUGUAAAGUUAGUGCAUGAUGUAGAAUGGGAACAAGAUUUCCCAAUAUGGUUGAUAGACUUAGCACAAAAGGAGGUGGCCCCCUUUUUGUAAUUAACUCUUGUAAUAUCAAGUGUUAAUACUUAUAUAUGAAACUAUUAACGUUUGUUGGAAAAAAAAUAUAACCACCUAAAAUAAUUAAUGAGAACAAACCCAUAAUGUGCAUAUAAUAUUUUACGAUUAUGAAAAUUAUAAUUGUUAAGAGAAUAUAAGUAUUCUUGUAGAUAAUAAAUUAGUAAGGGUAUUCUCGUAAAUAGUUUGUUAGGUUUGUACUCCUAUAAAUACUAGUUGGUCACUCAUAAUACAGUGACUAGAUGUUUUCCUCCCAAAAUACCUGUUAACAUGGUAUCAGAGCAAAAGUCCUAGGGUUAGGGUUAAACAUCUAGUCAAAAGUACUGUUCACCCGCACUGUUCAUCGUGGCACUGUUCACGCAUACUGUUCACACGUCACUGUCAUCUCGAGUUGUGACCCUUUCUUUGGUUUGACGUGCUAUUCGCCAUGGUUGAAAGGUUUGUUAAUGCGGUUACCACUGACCAAAUUGAAUCAAAUUUUUCAGCACAUGGGUCCCAGAAGACUGUUACUAUAUCUGAGGAAGAUUAUGUUAAAUUUCUACAGUACCAAGUUACAAAUCACGCAUCUCUUCCCUCUGCUUCUUUAGCACAAAAAGGUAAUGACUCAUGGAUUAUUGACUCCGGGGCUACUGAUCAUAUGUCAGGUACCUCUAAAAUUUUUUCUAAUUUUCAAGAGUCUACUCCCUUUCCUCAUGUUACUUUAGCUGAUGGAUCUACCAAUAAAAUUAAAGGAUUAGGCACUGUAGAAAUUAAUCCAUCACUUCCACUGUCUUCUGUUCUUUACGUACUCAAUUUGCCCUUUAAUCUAAUGUCUCUUAGUAAGCUCACUAAAUUUCUACAGUAUACAGUUACUUUUUCUCCUGAUUCUGUUGUCAUUCAGGAUUUGAAGACAAAGAGGACGAUUGGUGGAGGGCAUGAGCAUAAUGGUCUUUACUUUAUCAACUUCAAUGGUCCGAUAGCAUGUCCUGCUACUGUUUCUCCUCUUGAAAUUCACUUUCGUUUAGGUCAUCCAUCUUUACAAAAUUUGAAAAAGUUGGUUCAUACUUUGAGUCAAUUAUCUUCGUUAAAAUGUGAGUCUUGUCAGUUAGGAAAGCAUCAUCGUGUUUCUUUUGCUCCUAGAGUCAAUAAAAGGGUUUCUGAACCCUUUUUGUUGGUUCAUUCUGAUGUUUGGGGUCCUAGUCGAGUCACUUCAAAGUUAGGUUUUAAAUAUUUUGUAAUCUUUGUUGAUGAUUUUUCAAGAGUUACAUGGCUUUAUUUAAUGAAAGAUCGUUCAGAACUAUAUUCCAUUUUUUGUGUAUUUGUUGCAGAAAUAAAGAAUCAAUUUGGUGUGCCGGUACGUAUACUUCGCAGUGAUAAUGCGAAAGAAUAUUUUUCCACUCCUUUUAAUACCUUUAUGAGUAAGUCUGGUAUUAUUCAUCAGUUCUCUUGUCUUCACACUCCACAACAGAAUGGAGUUGCUGAAAGAAAAAUUAGACAUUUAAUCGAAAUUGCUCGAACACUGUUGUUGCACAUGAAUGUGCCCAAACAAUUUUGGAGUGAUGCAAUUCUAACUGCAUGUUAUUUAAUUAAUCGCAUGCCAUCUAAUAUUCUUGGUGGUCAAUUACCUCACUCCAUUCUUUUUCCUCAUGAACCUGUGUUUAAAUUACCUCAUCGUAUAUUUGGAUGUGUGUGCUUUGUUCAUCAGUUUACUCCCGGGGUGGAUAAAUUAGAUUCUCGUGCUAUUAAAUGUAUUUUCUUAGGAUACGCACGAGCGCAAAAAAGGUAUAGAUGUUACAGUCCAAUUUUAAAUCGAUUUUUUACUUGUGCUGAUGUUACUUUCUUUGAAUCCACUCCAUAUUUUAUGAAACACAGUAUGUCUUGUGAGUUAGACCAGUGUCCCUCUUUCUCUUCUCUUGUUUUACCAGUCCCUUCCCCUUUAUUACAUGAGUUAUCUAGUCCACCAGAUUUCAUAGCUCGAUUAUCUCGUCUUCAUCUUCAAGUUUACUCGUCGUUCUAUGGUUGAGAAAGUUCCUGAUAUGCCACGCACUUCACCAAUUAACUAUCAAUCUUCAAAUCCAGGUAUGACGCCCUCCUCUGAUUUAGAUCUUCCUAUUAUUUUACGCAAAGGUAAGAGAUAUUGUACUUCCCAUCUUAUUUCUAAUUUUAUUUCUUAUUCUCGUCUCUCUAUGUCAUAUUCUUCUUUUUUUGCUUUCCUUGAUUCUAUCUCCAUUCCUAAGUCUAUUACCUAUACUCUUAAUCAUCCUGGUUGGAGAUUAGCUAUGCAAGAAGAGAUAUCUGCUUUGGAACAAAAUGGUACUUGGGAUCUUGUCCCUCGUCCUUCAGGUAAGCCUAUUGUUGGUUGUAAAUGGGUGUACACUAUAAAAGUGCAGCCUAAUGGUUCUAUUGAUAGAUUGAAGGCUCGUCUGGUAGUUAGAGGAUUUACUCAGGUGUAUGGAGUAGACUACUUAGAAAUAUUUUUUUCUGUUGCAAAGAUUACCUCGGUUCGUCUUCUUAUCUCUUUGGCAGCAACUUACAAUUGGCCAUUGCAUCAGUUGGAUGUGAAAAAUGCAUUUCUGCAUGGAGAUUUGGAAGAAGAGGUAUAUAUGGAACAACCUCCUGGAUUUGUUGUUCAGGGGGAGAAUUUACGAUUGAUUUGUCGUUUGAAAAAAAUCCUUAUAUGGAUUGAAACAGUCUCCGAGGGCCUGGUUUGGCCGGUUUAGUAGUGUUGUCAUGGAAUUCGGUUUGACAAGAUGUGGAGUAGAUCAUUCUGUAUUUUAUCGGCAUUCUAAUGCUGAUAAAAUUUUAUUAGUUGUUUAUGUGGAUGAUAUUGUGAUUACAGGUGAUGAUGUUGUGGGGAUACAGAAACUUAAAUCCAAUUUGCAGGCAAACUUUCAGACAAAGGAUUUAGAUCAUCUACAGUAUUUUCUGGGUAUUGAGAUAGCUCGGUCUAAAUAUGGAAUUUAUUUAUGUCAAAGAAAAUAUGUACUCGAUAUACUGAGUGAAGCUGGGAUGUUAGGUUGCCGACCUGUGGAUACUCCUAUGGAUCCUAAUGUGAAAUUAGUAGGAGAUCAAGGUACAUUACUAGUGAUCCUAGGCAAUAUCGAAGACUUGUGGGUAAAUUAAAUUAUCUUACUGUAACGAGACCUGAUAUUUUGUUUGCAGUGAGUGUUGUGAGUCAAUUUCUUGAUACCCCUCGUACUAGUCAUUGGAAUGCUGUUAUACAGAUUCUCAGGUAUCUUAAGAGUGCUCCUGGAAAAGGGUUGCUGUAUCAAAAUCAUGGACACACUGAUAUUGAAGGAUAUAGUGAUGCAGAUUGGGUUGAUUCUGCCUCAGAUCGAAAAUCGACCACAAGAUAUUGUGUAUUUGUUGGUGAUAAUUUAGUGUCGUGGAAGAGUAAGAAGCAAACAGUUGUCUCCAGAUCAUGUGCAGAAUCUGAAUACCGCGCUAUGACUCACACUGUGUGUGAGUUGGUUUGGUUGAAGAGUAUGUUACUUGAAAUUGGGUUUGAUCAUAAACAGCCUAUGAAUUUAGUGUGUGAUAAUCAGGCAGCUGUUCAUAUUGCGUCUAAUCCAGUGUUUCAUGAAAGGACAAAACAUAUUGAAGUUGAUUGUCAUUUCAUUCGAGAGAAAUUGCUUGACGGAGUCAUCAAGACAUCUCAUCUACCGUCUGUAGAUCAAUUGGUUGAUGUGUUUACCAAGAGUUUAGGGGGCUCUAGGGUGAUAUACAUUUGUAACAAGUUAGGUGCUUAUGAUAUAUAUGCUCCAACUUGAGGGGGAGUGUUAAGAGAAUAUAAGUAUUCUUGUAGAUAAUAAAUUAGUAAGGGUAUUCUCGUAAAUAGUUUGUUAGGUUUGUACUCCUAUAAAUAUUAGUUGGUCACUCAUAAUACAGUGACUAGAUGUUUUCCUCCCAAAAUACCUGUUAACAAUAAUAUAUAUAUAUAUAUAUAUACACACAUAGUUAUUCAAUAAUAUACAUAAUUAUAAAUGAAAGUAUAUAAAACAUAAACUUUAUAUACUUAAAAUUUUGGGCGAGCUUCAAUUGAAGUCCAAGGUCAUCCUAAUCCAAUAAUACACAAUGCCCAGCUCUAAAUUUUUCAAGCCCAUUUGGUUGACUACGGCUGGCCCAUUAUAUUUUAAGGACUAAAGUGAGGCAGAUCUUACUUACCUAGGAUAGAAUAGGUGCUUCAAAUACUAAAAUGUCAUACUUUGCAAUUUAGGUAUCAAAGUGAAAAUUUAAGUAUAAUUAAAAGAUGUAAAAUAAAAUCAACUUCUCUGACUCAUCAUUUGAGACACUACAUUUAACUUAUUACACCCCAAGGAUCAAAGUAAAUUACCAAAAAGAAAGGACUCUUUUGUAAAUUACCAGAAAGUAAAUUAAGAAAGGAUCAAAGUUAAUUACCAGAAAGGACCCUUUUGAGACGCCAAUUUUCAAAACCACAAAGAUGUGGUGGCCCUAUUGCCUAUUCUAUUCCAAUAAAUGGCCUAAUCAAAGGCCUGAACUGCUUUGAGCCUAGCCCAACUACAAACCAUAGGAACAGAAAUCAUCCAAAACCACUUGUCUUUUAGUAAAAACCUUUGCACCCAAACAAUCCAUAAAUGAUCUUUCUUAGCACAGAUAUUCUAAAUUAGUUUAUGCAACAAAGCUUGAUUCCAUUUGACCAGAUUUUUAACUCCCAAACCGCCAGUUUUUAAAGGUAUACACAUCUUUCCAAGCUUGUCUUCAAAGCAGUUGUGGGCAAUAGGAAUAUACCACACCAACAUACUACACCAGCUUGGGCAAGCUGGUGCCUGAAUCUAAUUUUAUUGCUUCAGGACUGGAUUUGCGUAAUCAUUUGCAUUAUGUAUGCGUGUUUUUUCGUUGGAUUAGACAUGUUUUCCAGAUUUUUUACCGUCUGGGUUGAUUUGGAAGUUUUUGUCUUGGCAUGACUUUUUAUCAAUCGGUAUGAUUGAAUUUAAAGCAAAUUUUAUGUAUACUGACAGUGUAUACGUUAUCAUUGUUGGAUCCAUGAUACAUGUGUAAAAGUUAAAUUUCAAAUUUAAUUUCAUAUUGUUGUUAUUUAUUUAAAACGUACAAUGUAUACACUGACACUAUAGAGAACAUUAAUCCUUAAAUUUAUAGCAUAGCAUUUUUUAGAUUUUCUUGUGGGUCUAACACGUUACCCAAAAAAAGUCCUACUACGUAAUUAUUUAGUUAACUUACUAUUCAAAUCAAAGCAGGUAGAUAAAAGCCCUUUUCAAUGGAUUUAAGUACCUAUAAAUUAUUUGCACAUUUCAGCCAAAUUUGAAGCCAAGACCUUGUUAUCUGGUCUGCACUAGUUAUCAUCCUAGCGGAUAUACAAUUUACAGUCUUGAGUUCAACAAAGAUAUGGAAACGCCACUUUGACUGUCAACUAGAAUACGCGCAUUAAUGCACUAAUUCGUGUAUUAAUUUGCCCUAUCAACCCAACAAGAAGGGACAAUAACUCUUGCAUCUUUUAAUGGUUUUGGGCGGUUGGCCACUUUGGCUCAAAAUUGCAUAAAAUUGAUACUUAGUGCUUAGAGUUCAAUAAUUUGGUUUCAUGUGAUACUUAGUGCUCAGAGUUUCCACUCUAUUGUACUAUUAGUUUUCACAAGGUGUCGUCCAUGCCGUACAUCUUGUGACUUGUGAGUAGAGCUGGCAAAAAAGCCCAACACCCAACAACCCGCCCAUUAAUUUUAAAGGAUGAGUUGGGUCAAUUGGGUUAUGGGUUUUGUUGGGUUAGGUAAGAACAACCCAACUUAUUCAUUGGACGGGUUGGGUUUUUUAUUUGGGUACCCAAUACCCAACUUGUUUAAAAGUAAUUCAAAAUAAUAAAUACAAUAUUCAAUACACAUAUGCUCAACUAUUUGUGUUUGGACAUGUGUUAAUAAUGCAUUGAUUAAUUUGUAUUCAAAAUUCUCAUAUAUAUUUUUUCAAUCAAUUUUUUUAACUUUUAUUUAAAAGAAAAAAGAUGCCCAAGAUGACCAAGAUGACACUUGACAGCCACCAUCUUUAUUUUCUUUUAAAUCAUGUCUCCACCCGAUUUAUUGGUCUGAAGAUAAUUAUUCAGUUCUUUCCCUCUCUUCUUUUUCUCCCCUGAUAAUUUUUUUUUUUAAAAAAUCCACAAUACUUUUUGAUUGCUGUUUAACAAAAAAUUACAAUUGAUCCGCAGGUAGUGAAACAAAUUCUAACAUAAAUUUAAAGUACUAAAUUGACAAUUUGUUAAAAGGCAUUUAACUCUUAAAACUGAUUUAUAAGUCGUGAUUAAUACAAUCAUUCUAGAACACGAGUAUUUACUUAUUACAAGGCAUAUGGACUCUAUAUGUUGAACAGGACACAAAUAAAGAGAAUACCUAAUACUAGUACUAGAACACCGUUUCACAUACGUAGUCCAAAAGCAUUUUCUUCGAUGCUUUAUAAUAAUUAUAUAAAGCAUUGGAUAAACUUGUGUGAAAUUUUUUUUUUUGUGUGUUAAAAUGUAUGUGAAAAAGUUUAUGUAUUAAAAUGUAAUAAUUAAUCUGUUGGGUCAUAUUUGGGUAAUGGGUUUGAGACAACCCAAUAUGACCCAACCCAAAAUCAACCCAGUCUAAAGUUGGACGGGUUGGAUAUAACCCAUUUAAGUGAAAACCCAAUAUUAACCCGCCCAAUUGCCAGGUAUACUUGUGAGUGACAUUAGACAUUGCACAAAACAAUCCAUGGUUAGCUUUCCUGGAUUUUGCUUUUCCUCUGACAGGUGAUAAAAUCUUUCUCUAAAAUCUUGCUGUUUCGAAAAUCUUUUUUUUUUUACCUGUUUCAUGUACCUAUUUCUAAUAUCUUUUUUUGGGUCUAUAUUUUAUUGUAUAUAUAUACUGACAGUAUAUGUACAUUAUCAUGAUUAAAUAUAUGAUACACGUGUAAAAUUUUAAUUUCAAAAUCAAAUUAAAAUUAAUCAUCAUGCAUCUAGAUUUGAUAAUGUAUGGAAGAUUAAUUCUUGAUUCAUUAAUAUAAUCAACUUUCCACUUUUCACGUUACUGAAGUAGCUAGAUUUCAGUCACAAUGAUUAUAUAGCUUCUCACCUAAGGCUUUCCCGCAGUUUUUGUUUUGCAAUGAGGGCCCAAAUGAUGGCGUGCUUGACGAAUAGAACACUUACAAAAGUAUAAAAGUUAUUAUCAUGUGCUGUAAUUGCAUCAAUCUAUUGUCUACUCUAAUAGAUGCAUUUCCUGGAAAAAGCGGUUACAAUCUUUAAAAAUGAAGCCAAGUCAUACAGUUGGUAAAUAUUCUGAUUAGGAGUGCAAAAGUUGGAGGAUAUAUAUUUGAAUUCUAAGACAAUAAAAAUAUAGAGACUAACUAAAACUCCUCCUUGAUGAAGUAUCUUGUUUGAUUGAAGACUUUCAUUUCGACUAACAUAAAAUUAAAUCUAAAAUCCGGUAAAGCUGUUGAUGGAAGAAGUGAAGAUGGACAAUAAUCCAGAAGAAGAGAGUUUGCUUGAUCGUUCACCAAAACCAAGAAGAACAAAGGGUUGUCUCAAGACCAUGCCUUUCAUCCUAGGUAUGCAUGGAAAUGUUGUAUGGCUCUGCAUUCUGUCAUAUUGGACAGAAGUUUUGAUCUCUCUCUCUCACUCUCUCUAUCUCUCUCCCUCUUGGUCAGUGAAUGAAGCAUUUGAGAGGUUGGCAAGUCAGGGGCUAAUGCCAAACAUGAUACUCUACUUAACAAAAGUUUGCCAUUUUGAAACUGCCACUGCAUCCACUAUACUCUUUAUCUGGGCUGCUCUAUCCGAUGGUUUGGCCCUUUUUGGUGCUUUCUUGGCUGAUUCUUAUUUUGGUGGGUUCCAGGUCAUUGCUCUUGGAUCCAUGUCCAGCCUUCUUGUGAGUCUCUUUUACUUAUUGUGUAAUUUAACACAUUGCUUUUUGUUUCUUUUCCCCACAUAAAAUUCUGGAAUUGCUCAUCUGUACUAAGUUUUGGACCAAUAUUUGCAAGUUUUGUAUGCAAUUACAGUUUAAAGUCAUUCUGUUGCUGUUUCCUGAGAUAAUCUUCUUUAUGGUUUACCAGAGGAUUAGAAAAUUUAUGACUAACAAAUAUAAUACUUAAUUUGAAUGAUCAGUAACAAAUAUAGUACUUAGUUUGAAUGAUCAGAAAUGUUAAUUUGAGUAAGACUUUACUAUCACUUACUAGUACGCUUAUCUGUAGAAUUGCUUUCGGAAAGAGGUAUUGAAGGAAAUUAAACCAAGCUAUUUUAGUAUUUAGUUUCCUAAUUCCUUUUGGUAUCUUAUUUGUUUAGUUUCCAUAUUAGAUUAGGAAAUCUCAAGUCAAUUUCCAAAUAAGUUUUGGUUUACAAUUAUAUUUAUUUUAGGAAGCUUUAGAACCUAUAAAUACUACUAGUCUAGUAGGUUAUUUGGUGAAGAGAAGUGAAGUGGAGAAUUGAGUUGAGUCUAGAGAUUAGACUUGAGAGAAAAUCUCAUAGUUGAGAUUUGUGAGUUGUCGUGAGCGAAAGGCUACGACUUAAUAUUUGUUUUGAGUUAAAUAAAUUAUUGAGUGUUUGUUUUCCUCCUCCCCCACAUAUUUUUAUAUGUGUUAGAAUUGCUUCCGCUGUGUGCACGGGGAUUCUUCGUGCCAACAAGUGGUAUCAGAGCCCUAGGCUUUGAUCCUAGGGCUUGGAGCUUGUUUGUGAAAUUAAAAUAUGGAUCCGCAUUAUUUACCACGUUGUGGUGUAUUUAUCUUUGAUGGUAAAAUUGAUUUUGAGAUUUGGAGGUCGAUGAUGAAGAGUUUUUUCAAAAAUAUUAGAGUUUUGAAUAUUGUCCAAAAGGGCUUCAUGGAACCUAUAGAAGGCACAGAAAUAUCAAGGGAUGUAGUUGAACAAUUAGAGAGGAAUAGACAGUUGAACUAUAAGGCAUUAUACUAUCUCCAUACCCAAGUCUAGUUAUAUGUAGCCAAAAAAUUCAUACAUGUAAAGACAGCGAAGGAGGCUUGGAAAUUUUUAACAAAUUCCUAUGGUCAUGGUGAAGAAGGAAUUUGUGACGAGGAAGAAGAAAAAGAAGUUUUUGAUGAGGCAAAGAAAGAAGAAAUUGUAACAAUUGUGGAUACACAUGAAAAUGAAGAAAUUGUGAUUGAAGAAGAAAUUUCACAAGUAGUUGAGAAAGAAAGUGAAAUCAUUGAUCAAAUUAAAGACGUUAUUGAAGAUCAUGAUGAUAGAGAAAUUGUUGACUUUCACUACAAGAAAUUUGGUUAUUAGUGACAACAUUUCUCAGUGAUGAAAAAAAAUCGUCACAGAAUGGGGUCAUUUAACCACAAUACGGCAAGUUGUCACAAUUGAGUCAAGGAAGCCAACACAUCAGUGACGACCUUGCAUUGUUGUCACAAUUCGAUUCCCGCUAAGAGUCACGGAGAGAGUGGGAACUGCAAUAGUGACAACUUUCUAAAAGUCGUCAGUAUUAAUAGCACUUUCUUUGACAACUUUGCUAUUGUUGUCACUGAUAACAUUAUAUAACCGUUAGUGACUCAGUGACAACCUAGUCUUAUCACUGUUUGAUUUAAAAUAUUUAUUGCUUUUUGCAACUAUUAAUCCUAAUUUUUUGUAAUCAUUAUGUGUUCUCUAAUGAUUUUUAACUGUUGUAUACUUAUGAGCCUCCUUAUUAGUUUAAUUUUCUUGUAUAUGUAAUAACUUCAUUAGAAUAAAAAAUAAUUAAAAAAUAAAAAAAUUCAUUAGUGUAAAUAAACUUGUGACUACUUAACUUAGAAUGAUUAUUAGUUAAUUUGAUAUGAAUAAAUAAGAGUUUUCAAAUUGAACCGAUUAUCGAAGUGGAUAAAUCCUAAACUCCAUAGUUAAUUAACUAAUACACUUUAUGUAUUAGUUGAAUUGUGCAUUUUUUUCUUAUUUGAAGAUAAUGGAUUAAUAGUGAAGUUUUAUAAAUAGUAGUUAUAAUUGAUAUAAAGUUUUAGCACCUAUAAGAACUAGUUAAAUUUUAUUAAAAUGCUUUUCCAUUUAUAUGAAUUUAAAAAGGUUUGCCACUCAUACUAAAAUUUUUAAAAUUGUGACACAAAAAUAAUGAAUAAAAAUGAAAUCUAUAUUUCAAAUACAAUUAUAAAAGACAAAAUUGCACCAAUUUUUCUUGUGUAAAAAAGGGGAAUUAUGAUGUCCAAAUCUAGUUAAAAUUCAAGACAAAAACAAAGUGGCGCAAUUUUAAAAUUCAAGGCAAAAAAAAGAGGCGUAAAUUUGUCCAAGUCUCUUGUACUACGUAGAUGCAAAACAAUAACUUUUCUAAGUGUUGAACUCUCUCUCAAACUCUCACAAAUCACCUCACUUUUACUCAGCCCGUCAGCCCACACUUACCUCUAUCUCCACGGCUCCACCUCCACUUCCACUUCCAUUUUCACCUCCACCUCCACCUCUACCACACUCUCGAUCUCUUCGACAAUUGAAGACCAGUGAAGUACCGUGGCUUUUUGGCAUUGAAGACCAAGUAAUUCUCCAAGUCUCUGCAGCAAAGGUUAGUUCUUUCCCUCUCUUCUUUGUCUCUAAGAUAGUUUGCAAAUAUUUUGGCCCUACGCUUGUUUUUUUUUUUUCCUGAAAAUUUCUACCUGCAUUCUUGUUGAACCUAUAUUGAGGGUGUAAUUUUAUGGUUAUUUACAUGAUUAAACUUUUCAUCCCCUGAAAUUAAAUUUUAACUUAGGGAAAAAAUUAAGGAAAAUUUUUUGCCUAGUUAUCGUGAAUCCCGUAGAUUAAUGUAUCCUCUGCUUUUUGGCCCACUUGGGAAGGACUUGCUGCUUCCUAACGAUUUUUUGUACAAAAUCAACUACGGCUGGACUUGGUAGGGGGAGAAUUGAAUAAUAAUGACCAAAUUAGAUGAGGCAAUUAGACAAGCUUUAGAUGAGGCAUAAUAGCAUACUCAUUUACCUCAAAAUAUUUAUUGCUUUAUUCUUAUUUAGAAAAUUGUAGGUUUUAAAAUCCUUCUGUUGUGUGUCUUGAUCCCACAAAAAAGUUGCAGGGGAAGGGGUUGGUUGCUGCCAAUCCUAUUGCUAUGUUGUUAUGCCAAGAUUGGCUAAUGGUUAGUUGACGAGUUAAAGAAAUUAGUAGAUGUUCUGUCUCUUAUCCUUGAAGCAAGCUACUUCCAAAAGGGUGGUUCUACUAGCAGUGAUAUUUUAAGUCAAAAUUUGGAGUAUUUGACAUCAGAAAUUAGCUUUUCACCUAGUGUCUCUAGGCAAAAUAUUGAGAUCCACAAAAGAAGAGAGAAGCAAUUGCUUACACUUUUAGAGGUUGUACCUGACACAGAUUGGGAUGCUCCUUACCUGUUGCAUUUGUGUGAAAGAUGUCAGUUUCACCAGGUAUUUCACAUGCUGAUGAAAAUAAUAUCCAUUGUUAGGCAAAUCCAUGGAUAUCGAAUAAGUCGAUUGUAAUGUUUUUAUGACCUUGUUCAGAUCUACGGCUUAAUUCAUUCAAACAGAUGUCAGUACAUUGCUGCAUUGGAUAGUUAUAUAAAAGCUGUAGAUGAAUCCAUUCAUGCCUUUUCUUUUAUCCAUGAUAUGUUGCGGCGACUGAGUGAGAUUGAUUCAGAAGCCUUCCAAGCAGCAGUCUUUUCAAGGAUUGGUGAUCUGGUCAAAUUAGAUAGGUAAUUUUGCGCAAACUUUGAUGGUAAUUUCUCAGUUACACUCUCACCCAGAGAGCCUUUUUCUUUAUUUGAAGACACUUGUUGAAGUUCACACAACUGGAAAUCUCAAAUUUUCUUGCUUAAGAAAAGAUGGAAUAUCAGAAAUUUUCUUGUCCAUCACAGUCUUUCCGAAGUUUCUGUAGCAUAUUUUGUAUUUACUGGGGAGGGGCAGCUUGUAACGACCCCACCUCCCCCUAAGGCGUACCAGAGGGUUCGGCGGGCCGCCUGCCCACCUCUCGCCGGGACUCAGUCGUUCGCUACAGUCCUCAAUUAAAAAUUGAAAUAAAUCACAAGAAUAAAUAGGGCAUUGAUCCAAACUUAAAGCGGAACUUAUAUACAUUGCCAACCCAAAAGAGAAUAUAAACAUCAAAUAUAUAAGGGUUCUCAAUCCUUCAUACAUCCAGCCCGUGCCAAGCACUAGGCGAGAACCACUACAAAAGAAACAAAAUAAACAAAACUAGAUUGGCUAGUCUAUCUCAAGCUCACGUCCUCGCUCGCCUUCCCCUGUAAGGAAAACAAAACUAAAGGGAUGAGCUAAAAGCCCAGUGAGGUUCCGAACACAUAAUCAGAUAAUCAAUCCAAUACAUUAAACAUGGAGUAUCAAUAAUUCAAGAAACAUUUACAAUGGAAAGCGAUAGUAACACAUUCAUUAAAAGGAUACGGCUCACAAGGAGCAAUUCGUUAUUUCAUUCAUUCGUUCUCCUGACAUUUCCCCUUGUUCCUCCAAUCAUUUGAAACUGCAUUUUUCGUUUAUCAAUAACCCUCGUUCGAUCGUUCGUUCAUUCAUUCACCCCCGUCCUGGCCGUUGGCCAGUCUCCACCAACCUACAGGGUAAUACUCGAGUAUACCAAACGUUCACCCAAGUCCCUAAUCGCCCGACCGAGUCCGCUUCUGGCUCGAGACGACCGGUAACAAGGGGCAAUGGCCAGUUCAGCCCAAGAGGCUUACAUUCAUGCGCAUGUAGCAUUUCAAUCAUUAAAUCCUUGAAAAUUGCACAGUUAUUUAGGUCGAGUGCGAUAAAGUACACACUCGCCUAGGAAGCUCGUUUUGAAAAUCAUUAAAAGCGCUUAACACAUUAGCAAAUGAUAACAACAAGCCAUAGAAUCAAAUAAGGAACACUCACCUAGAAAUGCAAAAUAUCGUGCAAAAUAUCCUUCCGGAUAUUACCCUUAAUCACCAAUGAAACCUAAGGUUGAACAAGAGAACAUAUUACAGUUUAUCGAGCAAAACAUUUAAGGGAAACAAAGAAACCCGACUAAUUAGGAGUAAAACGUGUAAAGAUGACUUUCAAGUAAGAAGAGGGUUGUUUGAACCCAAGGAUGAAAAAUCAUGUUUUAAAAUGGAAAACCGGUCAUGGUAUUGGCCAAACAAAAGUAUACAAGUUCAAAUAGAAACCUAGCCCUCGGGCGAAAAUUUGGGCAGCACGCCCUUUGUGUUUACCUAAUUUUCCAGCCAUUUUGGCUUCAUUAUUUUUCCUCAACCACAACCCAACAUCACACAUAAGCAAUUCAAGUCAAGAGCCGUUCCAUAGGCUCACAAUAUCAUAAGAAUAAGAAAUACAGUAAUAACAAGUGCAGAAAUUCAAUUUAGCAAAAGACAGAUUUGACGUGCGAAUGCGGAAAUAACAUAUCCGAGGCUACGCUUAUCGGAUUAAGACGCAACCUAUGCCGUUUCGAAGCUAAGACACAGGGUUAUAAUGUUCAUGAAGGUCACUUAGUCCAGUUUCUAAUGUAACUUGGUCAAAUUCUCAAAUUACUAAACCAGAAACCAAUUCGUCGGCUGUUUAAACGCAGACACUGUAAUGGUCAUAACUCAGUGUACAAAAGUCCAAUUCAGGUGUUCUUAGAGGCAUUUGAAAGCUAAGACAGAACACUAAAACGUUCAUGUUUUGGAAAAAAGCUAAAUCCGAAUGGGUCCUAGUGAAAAAACGUGAUAAACUGGACAAACUGAUGAAACGGACUGCUGGGGAAAUACUUAAAAUAGGAAGGGUAUUUUGGACUUUUCACGUCCUACGUUGCUCCGAUUGAGUUAAAAUUUUGUAGGAACCUAUAAAAUACCAUUCUAUACAACUUUCCUUCUUUGACCUAAGGCCAAAUCGGCCUAUAACAUACAGAUAUAAAUUCGGACAGAAUGUUGGGGAAAAUUUCCAGAUUCUGGAAUUUCUAGUUUUUAGUGGAACUUUCCUUAAUUUCUCACUCCAAUCACUACCAAAACACCUUAUAAAACCUCAAUUGCAACAUAUAAGUAUCAUGCAACAAAUUAGGCAGAAUUUCCCCAAACCCUAGUUCAUGAAAUAAAAAGGGGAAAACUACUAAAACAUGAUAAUCAUCCAUGAUUCCACCACUAAAUCAAGUUGCUAAGCUUAAUUUAACAAGAUUAAAAGUAAAACUUAGAGAGAUAAGCUUUCUUACCUUGUCUAGAGGUCACUAAGAGUAGCCCAAGCUUUCUCCUUCAAAAAACUCACCACAACUCACUAACUAGUCACUCAAGAACAAGUUUAAUCGGUUUAUUUUGUUUGAUUCCUCACUAAGUUGUUGGAUUGAAGAUGAAAUGAAAUGUUUUCCUUUGGUGUUUUCCCUCUUCUCUCUCUCGGCCAGCAGCAACAAAAUGAAGAGGAAAAAUGCUAAGUUUUGGAGUUAAAUGGAUGGUCUUGGUCUUGGGUCAAGAAGCCUUGAGGUGGCGACAAGUGUCGCCACCACCACCUUUCUUUUUUUCUCUUUCUUUCUUGUUAUUUCCUAGCCUCAAAUUCGGUCAAGCUUGCUGCCAAGAGAGAAGAUAUUUUGCUCAAGUUCAAUAAAUUUGUUUGGUAAGGAAAUGGUGGUCAAGUGGUGCGUUCAAUCGGUAGUGCGCGGGACCCGCCGGUUCGCGCCGUUUUUCUUAAAAACACACGUACUAGGGUUUUUAAUUUCUUUUCACUAACUUUUAUUCAUUGCUUCUAAUCACAUAUUAUUUCUCACUUAAAAGUCACUUUUAAUCACCAAAUUGAAUCCUUACUCUGUACCGAAAAUUCAUCCGGCGAAAAAAUCGCGAAAACCCUAAUUUUGCUCCAAACUUGAAACCGAAGCGUAAAACCCUAUUUUCUAGGUUUACUUACACUUAUUGUGAAAUAAUUGGGUAGUGGGCUUUGAUAAAUAAUAAUUUUCAAAUAAAAGGGUAUUUUUGAGAAAAAUACAAGAAAUUUGCGAGUCCUCACAUUCUCUCCCCCUUAAAAAAAUUUCGUCCUCGAAAUUUUACCUUCAGUUGCCUCAGACGAGUCCGGAACUUGUCGGUUGUCUAAAGUAUAAACCUUUGCCGGUCCGCUAGUUCGUUUCCCUCAUUCAUUCACUUGUGAUUUAGCUCCAUCCAGUUGCAGAGUAUUGCUUUCACGUGACUGUCUCCUCGGACAGUUGCUAACUUGAUGAUCGCCACUUCCGCAGAUUAAACAUUUCCGCCCCUUUCUCCAACAAUCGCUUUCGACAUGAUUUGCCUUUCCACAGUACCCACAGACCACGUGAGAAGCCAUCUUUUGGCUUUCUUGAAAACUUUUUCCAAAUCUGAUUUGGCUUUCUUUUGUAGAUCCUUCACCUAUCGCCCCUAAUGUCCAUGGUGGAUGGGACAAAAAGUUCACUUUUUGCACUUUGGAAGGGACUCUCGCUUCAUUUAAUUCCUUCACUACACUACUCGAUGCACUCCUUUUCUGGGUCUGCGAAGCUUUUAUCUGUGCCUUUGCAGUCUCGAUUCUUUGAGCUUUCUCAAGGGCCUCCGUAAACGUAUUCACUUGUACUGCCGCUAAUGUUUCUUGGAGUUCCAAAUUUAAUCAUUGUAUAAACUGUCUUACUCUUCGCCGUUCUGUGGCCACCAAUUCAGAAGCAAACUUGGAUAGUUUCGUAAAUUUCGUUUCAUAUUCGGCCACACUUAAUGUUCCAUGGCGUAGUCCAAUAAACUCUUCCUCUCUCCUCUCUUGAACUAAAGGAGGGAGGUAUUUCUCGUUAAAUUCCCUUAUGAAAUUCGUCCAUGUCCAUACGGUCUGUUCUCUUUCCCAUUUUGCUUUAAUAACGUUCCACCACGCUCGGGCCGAUCCUUCAAAUUGGAACACCGCAAAGUUUACUUGUCUUUGCUCGGUGUAGUUCAAGACGGUGAAAAUAUUAAUCAUGGCCUCUAACCAUUGUUCGGCUAUAUCCGGAUCAGAUCCUCCAAGGAAUUUCGGAGGAGUAAAUUUCUGGAACCUCUCAAGAGCCUUAUCUUCUCCGAUUUCAGGGUUCCGGGGUUGAUUCACGGCCAUUUGGCCUUGUUGAUCCACCAGUCUUGCCAAGAUAUCUGUCAUUUGUUGCAUUACCGUUGCCAUUUGGUCUUCGGCUUCAACCCUCAUUCCUUGCUCUUGUGCAGCUGUUGUUUCUCUUUCCUCUCUUGGCUCUUGAGCUCGUUCAUUCCCACGGCCACGUCCACGUCCACGGCUACGUCUCCCGUCCAUAUAUAUGUUUUCCCUCUCUUUUCUUUUCCCCCAAAAGGUAAUUUAGUAAAUAAACACGAUAAGGUUACUAAAGUAACUAUUGAGGGCACCAAAUAUUCAAAUAAACAUAUACCCACAUAACACGCCAUACCAAGAAGACGGAUAAGCAAAUACACAAAUACAUAUCAAGUUGGACAGAUAACCAUGUACAUACAGGUAUACUAACGUCAUGUAGUAACAAUAUACAGGUAAAUCAAAAGGAAAAGGUGAAGUCGCCCCAGUAUCAGCCCGUCUGGUCUCUCACGUCACUUACUAUCCAAACUAGAUGUCCCUGACCUCUUGUGCUCAUUCUAGUCAGACAAAGCCUGUUCAUGUUCCCAAAAUACAAGUCUCAAGUAUUUAGCAGCACCUCAACUAUAGAGUACUCAGGCACGAGAAUCCGAAAUAAGAUAAUUCACAUCUCGAGCUGCAGUCUCAAGAGUAAACUAUCUACAAUCGGAAUUCCUACCUGACAUACCUAUCUAUGGUCCUCAGAUACCAUGAGAAAGAUUUAAGGCCUAUAACAUUCGCAAUUCAUAGCUUCACUUAGUCCCUCAUACUUUUUCACCACUUAGUCCAGGGUCACUCCACGUAGAAACCACGCGAAGCAGCUAUAAGUUUUAUCCCUCAAUCGCUUAACUUUCAAGUCCAAUCAAAUCCCACAGUCCGGUAUCCUAAUCUUUAAUCUAGGAUACACUACAGAGAUCUGAAGCCUAAGCUCUGAUACCACUUGUAACGACCCCACCUCCCCCUAAGGCGUACCAGAGGGUUCGGCGGGCCGCCUGCCCAGCUCUCGCCGGGACUCAGUCAUUCGCUACAGUCCUCAAUUAAAAAUUGAAAUCAAUCACAAGAAUAAAUAGGGCAUUGAUCCAAACUUAAAGCGGAACUUAUAUACAUUGCCAACCCAAAAGAGAAUAUAAACAUCAAAUAUACAAGGGUUCUCAAUCCUUCAUACGUCCAGCCCGUGCCAAGCACUAGGCGAGAACCACUACAAAAGAAACAAAAGAAACAAAACUAGAUUGGCUAGUCUAUCUCAAGCUCACGUCCUCGCUCGCCUUCCCCUGUAAGGAAAACAAAACUAAAGGGAUGAGCUAAAAGCCCAGUGAGGUUCCGAACACAUAAUCAGAUAAUCAAUCCAAUACAUUAAACAUGGAGUAUCAAUAAUUCAAGAAACAUUUACAAUGGAAAGCGAUAGUAACACAUUCAUUAAAAGGAUACGGCUCACAAGGAGCAAUUCGUUAUUUCGUUCAUUCGUUCUCCUGACAUUUCCCCUUAUUCCUCCAAUCAUUUGAAACUGCAUUUUUCGUUUAUCAAUAACCCUCGUUCGAUCGUUCGUUCAUCAUUCAUUCAUUCAUUCACCCCCGUCCUGGCCGUUGGCCAGUCUCCACCAACCUACAGGGUAAUACUCGAGUAUACCAAACGUUCACCCAAGUCCCUAAUCGCCCGACCGAGUCCGCUUCUGGCUCGAGACGACCGGUAACAAGGGGCAAUGGCCAGUUCAGCCCAAGAGGCUUACAUUCAUGCGCAAGUAACAUUUCAAUCAUUAAAUCCUUGAAAAUUGCACAGUUAUUUAGGUCGAGUGCGAUAAAGUACACACUCGCCUAGGAAGCUCGUUUUGGAAAUCAUUAAAAGCACUUAACACAUUAGCAAAUGAUAACAACAAGCCAUAGAAUCAAAUAAGGAACACUCACCUAUGCAAAAAAUGCAAAAUAUCCUUCCGGAUAUUACCCUUAAUCACCAAUGAAACCUAAGGUUGAACAAGAGAACAUAUUACAGUUUAUCGAGCAAAACAUUUAAGGGAAACAAAGAAACCCGACUAAUUAGGAGUAAAACGUGUAAAGAUAAUUUUCAAGUAAGAAGAGGGUUGUUUGAACCCACGGAUGAAAAAUCAUGUUUUAAAAUGGAAAACCGGUCAUGGUAUUGGCCAAACAAAAGUAUACAAGUUCAAAUAGAAACCUAGCCCUCGGGCGAAAAUUUGGGCAGCACGCCCUUUGUGUUUACCUAAUUUUCCAGCCAUUUUGGCUUCAUUAUUUUUCCUCAACCACAACCCAACAUCACACAUAAGCAAUUCAAGUCAAGAGCCGUUCCAUAGGCUCACAAUAUCAUAAGAAUAAGAAAUACAGUAAUAACAAGUGCAGAAAUUCAAUUUAGCAAAAGACAGAUUUGACGUGCGAAUGCGGAAAUAACAUAUCCGAGGCUACGCUUAUCGGAUUAAGACGUAACCUAUGCCGUUUCGAAGCUAAGACACAGGGUUAUAAUGUUCAUGAAGGUCACUUAGUCCAGUUUCUAAUGUAACUUGGUCAAAUUCUCAAAUUACUAAACCAGAAACCAAUUCGUCGGCUGUUUAAACGCAGACACUGUAAUGGUCAUAACUCAGUGUACAAAAGUCCAAUUCAGGUGUUCUUAGAGGCAUUUGAAAGCUAAGACAGAACACUAAAACGUUCAUGUUUUGGAAAAAAGCUAAAUCCGAAUGGGUCCUAGUGAAAAAACGUGAUAAACUGGACAAACUGAUGAAACGGACUGCUGGGGAAAUACUUAAAAUAGGAAGGGUAUUUUGGACUUUUCACGUCCUACGUUGCUCCGAUUGAGCUGAAAUUUUGUAGGCACCUAUAAAAUACCAUUCUCUACAACUUUCCUUCUUUGACCUAAGGCCAAAUCGGCCUAUAACAUACAGAUAUAAAUUCGGACAGAAUGUUGGGGAAAAUUUCCAGAUUUUGGAAUUUCUAGUUUUUAGUGGAACUUUCCUUAAUUUCUCACUCCAAUCACUACCAAAACACCUUAUAAAACCUCAAUUGCAACAUAUAAGAAUCAUGCAACAAAUUAGGCAGAAUUUCCCCAAACCCUAGUUCAUGAAAUAAAAAGGGGAAAACUACUAAAACAUGAUAAUCAUCCAUGAUUCCACCACUAAAUCAAGUUGCUAAGCUUAAUUUAACAAGAUUAAAAGUAAAACUUAGAGAGAUAAGCUUUCUUACCUUGUCUAGAGGUCACUAAGAGUAGCCCAAGCUUUCUCCUUCAAAAAACUCACCACAACUCACUAACUAGUCACUCAAGAACAAGUUUAAUCGGUUUAUUUUGUUUGAUUCCUCACUAAGUUGUUGGAUUGAAGAUGAAAUGAAAUGUUUUCCUUUGGUGUUUUCCCUCUUCUCUCUCUCGGCCAGCAGCAACAAAAUGAAGAGGAAAAAUGCUAAGUUUUGGAGUUAAAUGGAUGGUCUUGGUCUUGGGUCAAGAAGCCUUGAGGUGGCGACAAGUGUCGCCACCACCACCUUUCUUUUUUUCUCUUUAUUUCUUGUUAUUUCCUAGCCUCAAAUUCGGUCAAGCUUGCUGCCAAGAGAGAAGAUAUUUUGCUCAAGUUCAAUAAAUUUGUUUGGUAAGGAAAUGGUGGUCAAGUGGUGCGUUCAAUCGGUAGUGCGCGGGACCCGCCGGUUCGCGCCGUUUUUCUUAAAAACACACGUACUAGGGUUUUUAAUUUCUUUUCACUAACUUUUAUUCAUUGCUUCUAAUCACAUAUUAUUUCUCACUUAAAAGUCACUUUUAAUCACCAAAUUGAAUCCUUACUCUGUACCGAAAAUUCAUCCGGCGAAAAAAUCGCGAAAACCCUAAUUUUGCUCCAAACUUGAAACCGAAGCGUAAAACCCUAUUUUCUAGGUUUACUUACACUUAUUGUGAAAUAAUUGGGUAGUGGGCUUUGAUAAAUAAUAAUUUUCAAAUAAAAGGGUAUUUUUGAGAAAAAUACAAGAAAUUUGCGAGUCCUCACACAGCUUUAUACAUUCAUGGUCCUCAUAUCAGAAAUGACUACCCCAGAAAUCAACAUGAGAUGGCAUCUUGAUAUUUCUGGAUUGAAAAGGUCCAAUGUCUACCUAAUUAACGGUGUCUUUAUUUUUUUUGGCUGGCUGAUGGCAAGGAUUUUGUUGUUUGUUUGCAUGUUUCACCAUGUUUACAUUCACUAUAGUCAGGUCAUCCAGAUGCAUUCAGUUGGUUAUUUUCUAGUAUUUGUUGUGCCUUGCACUCUUUCUAUCAUGAAUUUGAUGUGGUUUGGUAAAAUUAUCAAGGGGCUCAUAAAAAUGUUAGCAAAGAAGCAGUGAGGAACAAUAAUGCUCUGAUUUCUUCUAUUACCAUAGUCAAAUUUUUCCCUCGCGUUCCUACUUGUACAAAUCUAUAGGAGAAUGCCCACAGAAAAUAGAGAAAGAUUAGUUCAACUUUUGUAUGUGAUCCGUGCAAUUCAACUUUGGUUACUUAAGUAUGGUGAAGUAGUUUAUACAUAUGUUAUGCCAUUGUGGAUGGGUAAUUCCUGUGCUUUUUGGUUCCAAUUAUCAUCUAUAUUCUUACCUUAAUUAUCUUUUAUUUCUCCAUGCAAUUCAGUUUUGGUUACUUAAGUAUGGCAAAGUAGUUUAUACUUAGGAGUAGUUUGUGAUUUGAAGUGUAAUUUGAAAUGGUUUUCAGAGUAUUCUACCUUAGGGCAUAAAAUAGGAUAUGGUGAAGAGGACAGGGUGUUUGUUUUUCUUUCUUGAAAAAUAAAUGUACCUGAUAAAUCAAUAGCCUAUCCGAUGCCACUGGCUAUGAGGUAAUUUUUUUCUCAACAAACAUAUUAUUUUUCAUAGUUAUGUUCAGCUUAUUAUUUACUUGAAUUGAUGACGAGUAUUUACUUUGUUAGAUUUGAAGCAAUACUGAAUUCUUGAAGCUAGGAGGGAGUGUUAAAGAUAGAGUGGCAACGAAGAUUAUCGAAGAGGUGACUUAAUUGUUUUUCUUUAAUUUGCUGCUUUUAAAGUUCUCUUAUUUGACUUUGAAAGUUUUGAACUUUGGAUCUUUCAUUACAGAAAUUUGUGCUCUCUAAGCUUAGCAUAUGUUGUUUUGAAAUAUUGAAGUGAUUUGAGUUUUUGUAUGAUAUGAUGGUGUUAUUGAGGUAAUGUGUUUGAGCACAAGCUAGGAUAGUGAUGAGUUCUGACCUUGGAUGGUAGCUAUUAAGUCUUGCAAUUUACAGUAUUUACUGCUUUAACAAGCAUUUACACGGCAAUGCCAAUGUUUUUCAGUAGAUUUUAGUUGUUUUUGUGAUUUGAGUAAUUUGGGUAUAUGGAUUUUGAUAAUGUUAAUAUUGUUGAUGCAGUACCACUCCAUGUAUUCAUCCUCUAGUGGUUUGGAGAAAUGGGUUGUAAAGAUUAAGCAACCCAUAGACAUCUUUCUCACGAUACCCAUUGCAUCAGUUUCUCUUAUAUAAAUGAGGUACACAUUGCCUCAGUUUCUCCUAUAUGAAUGGAUAGCUCGACACCUUGUAUCGUGAUUCACAUUACUUUGGUUAUCAUACUGGACACGUUGUAUCCUCUGCUAUGCAUUACUUUGGAUUGUUUUGGUUUAGUUCAGUUUAGUUUAUUUGAAUGUUUAGCUAAGCAAGCGAAUCAAAGUUGCUUUUCCUUUAGUGUUGUGCUUGUAGUCUUAUCAAUUGGUUAUAUUGUUCAUAGCAGUACUUAUAGCAGUGCUUGUUGCAUUAUCAACUUGUUAUAUUAUUCCUUUGAAGCUGAAGUUUAAUAGUAGUACUUAUUUCUUGAGCUGAUCUUGUGCAAUAGUUCGGGGCUGAUUUUCAUUUUCUGGGGCUGAUUUUGGUUUUAUUUGGGGUUGAUUUUGAAUGUACAGCUUUAAUUAUUGAGGUUCUUAUUGGAUUGCAUAUUUUAGCUAAGCAACCUAAGUAUUGUUACUUCUCCUUCAGUGUUUUAAUCCUCCCAUUAUCUACUUGUUUUACUACUUUAUUACAGAUAAAUGCUUUUUAAACAAAAUUUUGGGAGCGGUCUAUAGCAAUGACUGAAGGACGUUGAAGACAAAGUCGCAAUUUCUCAUUAAAGGGUUCGCUUGGAUGUUCUUUGGUUUCUUGAACCUAAUUCCUUUUGUAAACGUGCCUUAUGAAUAUGUGAUAUUUGGGCACAAUGUUACUUUUAUAGACCUUUGUUGGGUAAUGUGCACCUCAAUAUGACAUUUGAGUACUGAAUAUGCUAUAUUGGCAUGUAGCCUAAUGCAACAACUACUUUGAUUAUCGAUUGUUUAGAUUACUUCUUUCUAUUUAUUUUAGAUAAAUAAUUUACCAUGCUAAAUUGUGAGUUUAUUGAAAUGGAGCUGACAAUGUUAAAGAUCACUAAUGACAAAAAAGAGCUGUUGCAUAACAAGAAUAAAAAACUCUUUGUGACAACAAAGCUUGUCACUAACUCCAAACUUCAAUUGUGACAAGAAAUGUUGUCAAUAAGUAUAUCAUAUAAGUGACAACUUCUGACACUCUUCAGUGACAACCUUGAUCAAUACAUCUCUGACAACAUGCUAAGUCGUCAAUAAAACUCUUUCAUACUGUUGUCACUAAUGACAACCAUUCACUGACGAAUUUUUAUGUUGUCACUAUAUACUUUUACCAACGGAGAUAUAGUGACGACUCUGUGACGACUCAAAAGUCGUCAAUAAAAGUCAUUAGUGACAACAUUUCUAUGUCUUGUGAUGACAUAUUGUUGUCACUGAUGACCAAAUUUCUUGUAGUGUUUAUUGAGAUUGAUGAAUAUUUUGAAGAGAAAAAUCAAGUGAUGAGAUUGGUUGAAAUCAAUUGUGAGGUGGACAAAUUAAUUGAAAGAUGUGAUACUGCAAAAGUUGAUGCAGUUGUUAGUGCUAAAAAACUAAAGGAAAAAUAUGGUGAUGUUGAAAACCUUAUUGGCAAAAAUUAUGAUUUUUUGAUCUUUGGAGACUUUAUUGGUGAUAUGGAUGAAUUGAAUUAUGGAGUAUCUAAUAAAGAAUUGGUGGAUAUAUUUGAAUUUUUUUACAAGAGCGAUCAAGAGAAGAAAUUGUUUGAGAACUACAAGUCCACCAUCGCGUGUAAAGAUGAAAUUAGAGAUCAACUACAAGUUGAAAUUCCAUAUCAUCUAUACAACAACUGAAUUUUUCAUGGAGAUUCAAGUUAGAGAUGGCAUUGGAGAUAACAAUAUCAAGAGCUUGGUUUAAGAGAGGCAAUGAAGGAAAUUAAACCAAACUAUUUUAGUAGUUAGUUUCCUAAUUCCUUUUGGUAUCUUAUUUGUUUAGUUUUCAUAUUAGAUUAGGAAAUCUCAAGUCAAUUUCCAAAUAAGUUUUGGUUUACAAUUAUAUUUAUUUUAGGAAGUUUUACCACCUAUAAAUACUACUAGUCUAGUAGGUUAUUUGGUGAAGAGAAGUGAAGUAGAGAGUUGAGUUGAGUUUAGAGAUUAGACUUGAGAGAAAAUCUCAUAGUUGAGAUUUGUGAGUUAUCGUGAGCGAAAGACUACGACUUAAUAUUUGUUUUGAGUUAAAUAAAUUAUUGAGUGUUUGUUCUCCUUCUCUUCCCACAUAUUUUUUAUAUGUGUUAGAAUUGCUUCCGCUGCGUGCACGGGGAUUUUUCGUGCCAACAGGUAUGAUGAGGAAGAUCAACAAAGAAGACGAUUCCAAGAUCUCCUCCAAGAAAUGUAGGCCACAUCUUUUUCUCAGACUAUAUGCCUUCAAUUGGUUGGCUUGAUAGCCUCAAUGGGAUGCGUUCUAGACUUGAGAGGACUUGCAGCAAGUUAGAUUCAUUUCUUCAAGAACUCAUCGACGAACACUUAAAUCCAAAUAGGCCAGAGUCCAUGAACGGUGAUAUUGUUGGCAUCAUGCUUCAAUUACGGCAAGAACAAUCAACUUCCUUUGAUCUAACGCAAGAUCACAUCAAAGCAAUGCUCAUGGUGAUUAAUUACCUAUUCAAAGGACCUACUCCUUUUUUGUUUUGGUUCAAAACGUCCUUCAUAGUUCAACAAAUAAAUUUUUUCGUCCUUUACUUUUGAAAUUAUAAAUUUUUGUCCCCUUACAAAAUUAAUUUGAUAAAAUUUAGUCCCAACCUAGAUUUUUUAUCAUUUUUACCUUGAAUCAAUUAUGUGACCCACACAUUUUUUUUUUCCGGAGCAAAAAGGUUAGAUCUCAUUUAUAGUUAAAUAAAUAACUUGAUCCAUAUUCACUUUUGCAUCUAAAAAAGUAGGAUUUGAUUUAAUCUAUAUUCAUUUUUUCCAUUAAAAAAGUGGAAUCUAGCCUUCUUGUAUAUAAAAAAUAGUUGCAUGUGGUCACACAGUGAUUUUGGAUUAAAAAGUGGUCAAAAAUUUAGGUAAGGAUCAAAUAUUAUUAAUUUGAAUUUGUAAGGAACGUAAAAUUAAUAUUUUAAAGUGAUGGAUGAAGAAAUUCAUUUAACGAAUCGUGGAAACGUUUUGAACGAUUUUUCCUUUUUGUUUUUCCUUUUAAGAAUUUGGAUCAAUCCCAUUUUGCUAAUCUGUUUCAACAUAUCAUUGUUGUUGGAUGUGGGCCAACCCAUUUGUGCAAGUAAACAACACUUGAGGGCUUCUCAAGUUUAAUUACAAGCGGCAGCCGCAUGAGGUAAUUUCAAUUCUUCAGUCCUCAUGUGAGAGUGAAAAAGAACAGCCGCCAUCUUUUGCUGGUUGAGAGAAAAACAAAGAGAGAAAAAGAGCUAGAGAGAGAGAAACUUCAAGGUCUUAAUUGGAGGGUGAUUUGAAACCCGAUUGAGACGAAAUUUUACACACGCGAUCCUCUUGUCAAGCUCUAUUCAUCUACCGGUUCAGAUUUCAGAUUUUCUCUUCGUUUGGUAACACAUUUCCAAAUUCACUUCUUUAACAGUUGUCAUUUUUGGGGGUGAUUUUGUAGCAAUUUCACUUGGUUGGUGGUGGUGAUAUUAUUGCCGUCUGAAUAUUUCGGAUAGACUGAUGCAGAGGUCAGUGGAGGCCUGCAAUCUGCGAUCUAGAAGCUACAGAAUUGGCGGAGAGGUAACUUCGAAGACCGAUAGAUGAAAGGAAUUGUUAUUAUGUGAGUAACCGAGAGGAUACAAGAAAGGAGAAAUGUAAAGCUAUUACAGAAUGAAUAUCAAAAAGGCUGCCUUAUUUCAUAGCCUAGAUUCCUAUUUAUAGUCAUAUAAGUCGGCUGUCAAGCUAAUGCUUAACCUGCUGACCUCGGCUGACAUCACUAGAUUCCUACUAACAAAUUGGCUAACAAACCCAGCUGUAUGGCCAUAACUAACGUGUGCAUGGCCUGCAUGGCCAUAACUAACUUUAGCUAACAAACUUCAGCUGCAUUUCCUUUGCCAUAUCCUGCGCAAAAUAUGGAAUAACCAAACACAUGCAUCAAUACCCUCCCCUCGCAGAGUCCUUGUCCUCAAGGACUGAAGUUGGGAAAUUGCAGCUUUAAGUCCUGCAGGUAAUCCCACGUAGCAUCCUCUGGGAAGCUGUUACUCCACUGGACUAAUACCUGAGUAGCUGCCACCCUACCACGCUUGACCAAACGCCUGUCUAAUAUGGCAAUGGGUUCCAACAAUAGCUGACCCUGGCGUGAGACUCCAGCUGGAAUGUGAGUAUGAGUGACCCCUGUGCCCAUUUUUUUCUUGAGCACCGAAACAUGGAAGGUGUUGUGAAUGUGAACAUGCGAAGGAAGUGCCAACUUGUAAGCCACUGCACCCACCCUUGCCAGUACUUGAAAUGGGCCAAAGUAGCGAGGAGAUAAUUUUUGACAGUGAUGAGUCCUUAACGAAUGUUGCCGAUAUGGUUGAAGCUUGACAUAGACCCAGUCACCAACGCUGAACUCCCUUUUUGAUCUAUGUUUAUCUGCCAACUGCUUCAUCCGGUGCUGCGCCUUAGUCAAAUUAUGUCGCAGGGAGUGGAUGACUUUCUCCCUUGCAUGUAAGCUUCUAUCCACAGAUUCGACCGUUGUAGCUUCCGGUAAGUAAGGAAUAUGAAUAGAGGGAGGCUGUCCAUAGACUAUUUCAUAGAGAGUAAAUUUAGCAGAAGAGUGGUGAUUCGUGUUAUACCAAUAUUCUGCUAAUGGUAGCCACAAACUCCACUCCUUAGGGUGAUCACUAGCCAUACACCUCAGGUAAUUCUCUAAGCACCUGUUAACCACCUCCGUUUGUCCAUCACUCUGAGGAUGGUAAGCAGUGGACAUAUUCAACUGAACAUGCUGUAACCUGAAUAGCUCCUGCCAAAAUGAACUCAAGAAAGUAGGAUCCCUAUCACUGACGAUUGUUUGAGGUAACCCAUGGAGCCUGUAAAUUUGAUCCAUGAACAACUGAGCGAUGGAGAUGGCUGUGUAGGGGUGAGCUACUGCUAUAAAGUGGGCGUACUUGCUGAGGCGAUCAACCACCACUAAGAUCACUUUCUUUCCAUGAGAGGGUGGUAAUCCUUCAAUAAAAUCCAUGGAGAUGUAUGUCCAGAUCCUGUGGGGUAUAGGCAAAGGUUGUAGGAGUCCAGGGUAGGGUGCAUUAUCUGAUUUAUGCCUUUGGCAAAUGUCACAGGAGGCUACGUACUGAGCCACAUCUCUAAACAUGUGCUGCCAAUAUACAACCUGUUUGAGCCUCCUGUAGGUCACAUCCACUCCUGAGUGUCCCCCUUGCGAGCUAGAAUGCCACAAGGAAAUCAACCUGUCCCUCAAGGGUUGAUCCUUGCCAACCACCAACUUACCUCUUCGUUUUAAUACCCCUUGUUGCCAAGAGUAAGUGUUGGAGUACUGGUUAUUGCGUGUCAAUUUUUGGAUUAGCUCCUGGAUGUGUAUGUCCUGCUGCCAACUUUGUUGAAUAUCCCUGAGUAAUGAAGAUGUGACUGUGACUAGAGUGUAGUUUGAACCCCCCUCCAGUGGCCGUCGGGACAAGGCAUCUGCUACAAUACUAUCACAUCCCUUUUUGUAUUGCACCUCAUAAUCAAACCCCAUUAACUUGGCUAUCCACUUCUGUUGUAAAGGUGUGUGUACCCUCUGCUCAAUUAUAUACUUCAGGCUCUGAUGAUCAGUUUUAAUAGUAAAAUGCCUUCCCACCAGAUAAGCUCUCCAUCUCAACACUGCAGUCACUAUAGCCAACAUUUCCCUUUCGUAUACAGACAGAGCUUGAUGUUUAGGACCCAAUGCCUUGCUGAAAAAGGCCAGAGGUCGCUUAUGCUGCAUCAGUACUGCCCCAAUUCCAUUCCCAGAUGCAUCAGUUUCUACAACGAACUCCUGAGUAAAAUCUGGUAAAGCCAAAACAGGUGGACUGCUCAUGGCUUCCUGUAAGUUCUUGAAGGCCUGACUAGCUGCAUCAUGCCAUUGGAACUGGUUUUUCUUAAGUAAUUCUGUCAAUGGUUUGGCAAUUUUCCCAUAAUCCUAUAUGAACCUCCUGUAGUAGCCAGUGAGCCCCAAAAACCCCCUUAGCUCCUUGACUGUCCGAGGAAGAGGCCAACUCACGAUUGCCGAAAUCUUCUGAGGGUCUGCUUGAACUCCCUCAAUAUUGAUGACAUGGCCUAGAUAAUCAAUUUGUUGCUGUGCAAAGGUACAUUUGCUUCUUUUUGCCUUCAAGGUAUGCUGCCUUAAUAAUUCGAACACCAUCCUAAGAUGUUGUAGAUGUUCCUCCCAAUCACAGCUGUAUAUCAAAAUAUCAUCGAAGAAAACCAGAAUAAAUUUCCUUAAGAAUGGCUUGAAAAUGUCAUUCAUCAAACCUUGAAAAGUUGAAGGCGCAUUAGUCAGCCCAAAGGGCAUAACCAAAAAUUCAUAGUGGCCGUCAUGAGUCCUGAAAGCUGUCUUUUCCACAUCCUCUGCCUUCAUUCUGACCUGGUGAUACCCAGAUCUCAGAUCCAGUUUGGUGAAGAACCUUGCUCCAAAUAGCUCAUCCAGUAGUUCCUCUAUCAAAGGUAUAGGGAAUUUAUUCUUUAUAGUGGCAUUGUUCAACUGCCUGUAAUCAACACACAUUCUCCAGGACCCAUCCUUUUUCUUUACCAACACUACUGGAGAAGAAAAAGUACUAGAACUAGACCUGAUGAUGCCACAAGCCAGCAUUUCAGCCACCAACCUUUCAAUCUCACCCUUUUGGAAGGCCGAAUAUCUAUAAGGUCGCACGUUGAUGGGUUCCGUCCCCUCCUUCAGAACAAUUUUAUGGUCAUGGAGCCUUUUUGGUGGCAACCCCUUAGGUUCCUGAAACAAAUCCUCAUAAUCAUUCAGUAAGUAUUCAAGUUCUACUGGAUUGCUCACCUGCUGAUCCUCAGUGUCCGCAGUAAUGGUACAGAGAGGUAAGGUGUCUGCUGUGGGGUCCUGCACUACUCUGAUUAGGCAUAGUUGCGCCUCAGCGAUUUGCUCAGGUUUUUGAAGUAUUUUCUGCAUUUUUUUCUGCUUAACCAGUUGCAGCCCUUGUCGCUUCAUUCCCCUUAAAACUACCUUAAACUCCAUCCUAAGCUCCCCAAAGUUCCAUUUCACAUCCCCAAGGGUAGUUAACCAUUGUAUGCCAAGAACGAGCUCACACCCACCCACUGGUAAUAUGAGUAGGUCAGCCUUGAAUUCCUGUCCGUGCAUUUUCCAAAUGAAGUCCUUACAAAGGUCCUGCGUGGUCAACUUAUUUCCAUCUGCCACCUCUAUCACUAGGGGAUCAACCCUGUGUGUAGUUAAACCCAACUUCUGUACAACUUUAGGGUGAACGAAAUUAUGGGAGCUACCACAAUCUAUGAAAAUGUUCACAGAUUGUCGUCCCACAUGACCCGUGACCCUCAUAGUUUUAAAAUUAGGAACACUCAUGGUAGUCAUGGCAUUAAGAGAAAUAUGUGCCAGUUGACCUUCAUCCAGUGCGUCUUCUUCUUCACUUCAUGACCCUUUCUCCUCCUCCUCUGGCAUGUCAUCCCAAACCUCCAACCUGUGGAAUUGUUUAUUACCACAUCGGUGCCCAGCUGUGAAUCUUUCGUCACACCAAAAACACAACCCCCUAGCUCUUUUCUCAUCCAUUUCUACUCUACUCAACCUCCUGAAGGGUCUUUUGGCUAUUAACUCUUUCUGCUUCUCAUUACUAGGUAGGGCUGGAAAAGUAGGGAGAUCCAAGAGUGGCUUAGAAUCUAUCUUCCAUUUGUAACCAGCUGAGUUUGUUUGGGUAGGUGCGAAAGUGCGGUUAGGAUCUGGACAACUUGUGUAAGGUUUGGCUAACCCCCUCCCUUUCUGCUGCACAAACACCUUAGCUUCUUCAAUUUUGGCCAGGGUUCUGGCAUGCUGCACGUUCCUAGACAUGAACAUUCUUACGGUCAGUUGGAUCUCUGGUUUCAACCCACUCACAAAACAACUUGUGGCGUAGUCCUCGGGGAGAUCCACCCUAUUGAGAAGCUCCUCGAACAGGUCGUGGUACUCCUGUACUGACCCAGAUUGCUUCAAGCUCUUAAGCUCUCCCAUGGGAUCGUCAUACAAGGAGUCUCCAAACCUGGAGGAUAAUUCCCUUACAUACUCCUCCCAGGCCGGAAUCUCUCGCGUAAGUCUGGAUCUCAUGAAGAUUUGGUGCCACUGAAGAGCCUUCCCCUCCAAAUUCAUGGCAGCUACUUUGACCUUUACUGAGCUUGGCGUCUCAUCCACUUCAAAGAACUGCUCACACUUGUACAACCAUCCUCUAAAAUCCUCCCCAUUGAAUUUUGGAAAGUCAAUCCGCGACAAGCGAGAGGGAACGUGGUAAUUCCCUCUAUUGCUGUUUGAAGAAUCCGAAUUAUGAGGGGAGCCGUUUCCUUCGGCCGGACCUUUCUGCGUGUGUAGUUCAACCACCAGGUUUCUUAGAGCUGCCAUUUCUUUUUCAAACUGUUCCUGUUGUUCCCUCAGCAUGGAGCGAACGUGCUCUUCCAUCUUCAUGACGUCUUGAGACCUAGUGCCCUCUGCCAUUGGUGACUUAGCUGGUUCAACCCAGCUCUGAUACCACUGAUGCAGAGGUCAGUGGAGGCCUGUAAUCUGCGAUCUAGAAGCUACAGAAUUGGCGGAGAGGUAACUUCGAAGACCGACAGAUGAAAGGAAUUGUUAUUAUGUGAGUAACCGAGAGGAUACAAGAAAGGAGAAAUGUAAAGCUAUUACAGAAUGAAUAUCAAAAAGGCUGCCUUAUUUCAUAGCCUAGAUUCCUAUUUAUAGUCAUAUAAGUCGGCUGUCAGGCUAAUGCUUAACCAGCUGACCUCGGCUGACAUCACUAGAUUCCUACUAACAAAUUGGCUAACAAACCCUGCUGUAUGGCCAUAACUAACGUGUGCAUGGCCUGCAUGGCCAUAACUAACUUUAGCUAACAAACUUCAGCUGCAUUUCCUUUGCCAUAUCCUGCGCAAAAUAUGGAAUAACCAAACACAUGCAUCAUAGACCUGUGUAUUUCCAUUAUUAUGAUAGUGGAGAUUUUGAUUGGACUAGGUCCCAUGAUUUUUCCCAAUUGGGUUUUUCACGUAAAAAUCUUGGUGUCCUAUGCUUUCUAUUUUUCUUGCAUUUUAUUAUCACUGCUAGCAUUAUUACUUGGUGAUUUGAUUUGUUCCUAUUUUAACUGGUACUUGGAAAAAGAGAAAUUUGUCCUGGGCUAACUCUGAUAUUGUGUGCCUGUACUGGUACUCCUUUCCCAACACAUUAUAGGAUGUAUUUAGUGCAGGGUCGGAUACUGUUGCAGGUACGAUAAUCUGGGCAAUGGCUUGAUGAAGAGCCCUGAAGCAAUAUUGAAGAAGGCACAAGCAGAGAUUAGAGGUGCAGUUGGAAAUAAAGAUAUAGUAAACGAAGAUGAUAUUCAAAAGCUCCCUUGUCUCAAGGCAAUUGUCAAGGAGACCUUCAGAUUGUAUCCUUCAGCUCCACUUUCAGUUCCAAGACAGACACUAGCAAAUUGCAUUAUAAAUGGUCACGAAAUCCAGUCCAAUUCUAUAGUUUACACAAAUGUCUGGGGGAUUGGAAGAGAUCCCGAGUAUUGGGAAAAUCCAAAUGAGUUUUUGCCUGAGAGAUGCUUGAAUAGUAGUGUAGAUAUGAAAGGGAAAGACUUUCAAUUGAUACCAUUUGGAGCUGGCCGAAGGGGCUGCCCUGGAUAUUCUCUGGUACUAGCAAUGGUGGAAGUUGGACUUGCCAAUCUUCUGUACUCUUUUGACUGGGAAUUGCCUUUUGGGAUCAAGAAAGACGACAUUGAUACUCAAGUUUUACCAGGUCUUACAAUGCCUAAGAAAAAUGAUCUGCCACUUCCGGCAAAAAAUGUGUAUGCGUAGCAAAUGUCAAGUGCUGGCAUCUAAAUACUUGGGACCAUGUAUUCUUUGGUUGUGGAAUUUCCUCUUUUUUUUCUUCCCUCCUUGUGUUUAGUUUGUUUUGUGACUUGCUCCUAGUCGUAUACUUAUAUUCUAUUGUCUGUUUGGAACCAAGUUUUUUGCCUAGUUUUUUUUUCUACAAGAUUUUUAACAACUUUAAUUACGAUAAUUUCAAACUCCCCAAAUUUUUUAAAAUGCAUAGCUCAAAUGCCCAAACACAAACAAAAUUUUUUUUCUUGUCUUUUUUCUUCUUCCUCCCCACAACUCAAUCUACCACCACCUCCACCAACGGCUGCCACCGGCCGCCACUCCACCGGUGCGGGCAUCGGGGCUGGUGACUCUUUUUUUUUCCCCUUUCUUUCUUUUCUCCCUCUUUCCUCCUCCUCCUUUCCUCUUCCUCCUCUCCUUCCCCUUUCCUCUCCCCCCUCCCCUGAAACCUUGUAUAAAAACAUAAGGAGAUUAUGUAGAUAAAUGUAAAAAUUACAAGCAGUAACGUGAAUAUUUAUACAAAUCAUAAGGGUGUUACAUAAAUAUUAAAAUUUUAUCACACGCUCUCUUAAAAUACAUUUGGUAUAAAUGCCAUAAUUGGCCGUGCAUUCCGUUUUUUUCUACCUUAAAAUUUAUAUAAAAGCAUAGGAGUUAUAUGAACAUUUUAAAACUCUAAAAAGUUCAUUUGACAUUAUGUAAAACCGCAUGCGGGUAACAAGUAAUUUGUCCUCUACAUAUAGGGCUUGUUUGGAAGUCCAAGUUUUUACCAAGUUUUUAUUAUACUAGUUUUUUAACAACUUGUGCUACAGGAACCCCAAAAACUUAUCAAAGUUUUUUAACCUACACACUUAAAAUAUCCAAAACAAAAAAAAAAAAAACUCCCUUCCCCUUUUCUUCUUCUUCCUCCCCCACCACUACCUCUGUCAAUUGCUUCGUCACUGGCCACCACCUCCGCCGCCGGUUCCGGCGCCGAUCACCUUUUCCGGUGCCGAUUUUUUUUUUCCUUUUUCCCUCUUCCCCUGCAAGUUUUUUUUUCUCUCUGCGUCUCCCCCCCUCCUCCCCCACCACCCUUCCCCUUCCCCUUCCCCUCUGGCCGACCUGGUCGCGAGACCAGAUCGCACCAAGGGAGGGUGAGGGUGGCGGGGAAAGGGGAGGACAGAGGGAAAUGGGGGAUUUGCCCAAAAAAAAAAAUUGACGGGUGGCGGGAUUCGGGGGUGGUAAACGGGAAGGGGCCAAGAGGUGACGGGGAGGGGGAAGGUGCGCGAGGGUGGCGGGCAGUGAGGGUGGCGGGUAGAGGGAAGGUGGGCCUGUUUGGAAGUUGCGGGGGAAGGGGUGGCGGAGGAAAGGCAGAGGGAGGGCAAAGGGAAGCGGGAUGAGGGGUGGUGGGGGAGGGGGUGGCAGAGGGGAGAAGCAAAACAGGGAGGGGGGUGGCGGGGGAAUAGGGGAUGGUGGAAAGCAGGGGGAAGCGGGGUGAGGGGAUGGCGGGGGAGGGGGAAGGCGGGCAGAGGGGGGUGGCGGGGCAGAGGGGGAGAAGCAAAGCAGGGGGUGGCGGGAGGUGGCACUGCUGGAGGCAGAGGUAACGGGGAAGGGGAAGAAGAAGAAGAAGAAAGAAAAGAGAAAGGAAAGAAAGAAAAAGAAAGAGAAAGAAAAAAAAAAAAAGAAAAGAAAAAAAAGUUUUUAACCCUACAAAAACUUCUACAAAAUUUUUUCCCUUACAAAAAACUUCUACAAAAUUUUUUGAAAAACUUCUACAGUGCACUACAGUAAAGUUUUAGACAAACUCCCAAAAAACUAAGGUUCCAAACAGGCCCAUAGUAAGAGACAGGCCUUUUAAUAUAUGUAACUAGGUCCAAGCCUUCUACAUAGAUUGGCUUAGUUUGAUAUGGGUACAAAAAAUUAAGCCCAAGUUAAAAUGGGCCGUACUUGGAUAAUGCUGAAUAUGUUCAGUCUCGUAUUUUCCCGACAAGACAGUUCAGCCAUGUUAUAUACUACCACUUACUAGUUAAAUUUAAAAAAUAAAAAAUAAAAAAAACUGGUCAAUUGCAAGAUCUUUGUUUGUUGUCAAUCAUUUCCUCCUCUUUCUUCUUCUUGUGAAGUUUAAAAUUUCCAUUGGAAAAAAAAAAUUCACUUCUUAUUAAAAAGUGGCUAUGUUAAUUAAGAAACUGUGAUGCUAAUUACGAUAAUUGUUGUAUUAAGUGUCUGAAACUUGGUUUCUAUUUACCAUAUUAUAUUUUGGAAAUAUAUUUCUUUUACAGAAUGACAAGUUGACAACUAUAAGUAACUAAAAAAAUCAAAUGAAUUAGCCAAAGUGAUGUGGCAAAAUUUCAAAUUGAAUCAUCUUCAGUGCCUUCAAAAACAUAGUCCCUUGACCACUAGACUGUAUAUAUCCCAUUCAAUUACUGGUGAUGUAAUCAUGUAAUACCGUCCAUUCUUCACAGAGCUUAUACAUCAUAAGUUUGAUAAUUUUAUGAAACUCAUGGGUCAAUACAUGUCGAUUUGUCAAGAUACUAACUUGCCAAAACUAAAUUGAAAAUCAAUACUCGAGAUCGAAAAUGAAGAAAGUAUAAGUUGAAAACAAUCAAAAUGUUCAUAAAUAUUGAAGGGCAUAUGAGCAAAUUCACCCUAUUCCUGUAAAGAAAGUCGCAAAAAAAAAAAAAAAAUUCCUUCACCUUAUCUCUAUGGUUUAGUCUAACGUCCUCAAUUCGAAGGCCAAUUUGAUAUGUUUUAGAUAAAUUGUUUAAGCAAAAUGUGAUGCAAAACCUUUGACUUACGAUAGGCGAAGUCAUGGAAGAUGCAAUUAUUGGGGUUAUAAAACCAAGCAAUUCCAACUUGCAUUACGUCAGUGCUGUACAAAUUAUUUCCAAUCAAACUAUUGUAUAAAAAUCCAAGGAGUAUGCGGUUGGGAUUCUUAAUAAUAAAUAGGUAAGUAGUACAAGUUCAAAAUUAGGGUUAAUCACCAAAAUUCAAGGAGGUGGUUAGACCAUGAUCAUGGGACAAUUGAUUUUAAAAAGUUCACUAGUCAACCCUUGAAAUGAAACACUUCUUACGUUGCAAUUGAUUAUUCUUCUUACUUAUUACAUAAGUAGAAUUUUGUCCGUACCUUAGCACAGUCUUUUUUUUUUUUAAUUUAUUGUGAAUUUAUACAAAUAUGAAUAAUUUAAAUACAAAAAUUAACAACAAUCCUACGUGUUGCGCGCAUGGUCCUUGAGUUUAUAGAAUACAUUUUCUUUGCAAAUAAUUUCUGCAUUCUUUACGUAAUGCUUAUCAGAAAUGAUUCCGGAUCACAUUGUUUGGUUUUCUAAACUGUUCCUACGUCCCAAUAGUUGAGGAUCUAACUGCAUUCAAGCAUCUUCCAUGACUUCAUUUACGAAAAAAAGUCAAAGAUUUCAUAGCACAGUUUGCUUAAAUUAAAAGAUUUGUUUCAACAUAUUAAAUUUACCUUCGUACUUGCUGCCUCAGUUAGACUUAACACUAGAAAUAAAUUAAUAUGUGAAGGUUUAUUUCAAUGAUUUGCCAUACAAGUAAGUACUCCUUCUUUCCGUUCUAUUGUUAAUGUAUUUGUUUCUUCCAUACUUGCAUCAUAAUUCGCAGGUAACAGCCCAUUUUGUAGAGUAUAUAUGCUCCAGUGCUCGACAUCAGCAGAUCGAAAAUGAGUGCGAAGUUCAAUUCUGCUAACAUUUGAUGUGAGACCCCCACAGCAAUCAUUCCAUUAAACCAAAGUGACUAGUUAUUAUAGCAAAUGCUGGAAGGAUGAUUUUCCAAAGCAAUCUUAGGUUAAUGGAAAAGCGAUGUUAUCUAUACAAACUUCCCUCUAAGCUUCGUCGGCUUACGGGUUUGAGCUUCCAAUACAAACGUAUGAAACUCUUUCAUUUCAAAUGGCCGUACAUUGUAUAGGAACUACACAUUCUGAUCCCAUUUGACAUGUUUUUUCUUACUACGAAGACACACGUUUCUUUGCCACAAGUCGCAGGACAUUUUUCUUAAGCAUAGCAAGACCAGGUAAAACAUCAGUAUCAAUGUCCUCUUUCUUCACUCCAGAAGGCAAUCCCCAAUUGAAUGAGUUCAAAAGAUUAGCAAGUGCAAGCUCCACAGCUGCUAUUCCCAGGGAGUAUCCCGGGCAGCCUCUUCUGCCUGCCCCAAACGGGAUCAAUUGAAAGUGUUUCCCUGUUGCAUCUAUAGUACUAUUCAAGAAUCUCUCAGGCAAGAACUCAUGUGGAUUUUCCCAAUACUCAGGAUCUCUUCCAAUUGCCCAAGCGUUCACGUAAACGGUAGUCUUGGGCUGGAUCUGAUAGGUUGCAUUUUAGUGGGUAUUUUGGGCAUUAUUGCAUAAUUAAUUGACUAAAUAUUUUCGUUAAUUGGGUGGAUUCUACUGAUAUUUUGUUUUGGUGCUAAUUGCAGGAAUGGUUGCUGAAAAGCGCUUAAAUUCAACUUUUAGAAGAUUCAUCGGAGUGGGGCCCGUUUGAGAAGCGGAAAAAACCUAAUUGUAAUAGAUUUUAUUUUAAUAUAUAUUUCUAGGGAGUCUUGCUGCAAUUUUGAGAAGUAACAAUUUGUAAUUUAUCUCUGGCGCGGCUUAGGUUAGAGAGGAGUCUUCGUUUUUGGUUUUUGAAUGAGAGGAGAGAGCCGCAGCCUGGAGGGGAAAAAGGCAACGGACAGAAGCCAUCAUUGUUGACUUGUGAGAAACGAAUUCUUCAUGUUUGGACUUGACAACUUGAGAAAUCAAGCAAUUGAGAAACUUUCACUACUAAUCUCCUGCCACAAAACAUUAAACCAUCAAUUGACACUAAUACAUAACUAAAACUUCAAAAAUGCAUGAAAACUGCCACAAAUAUUCUUGGGUUGCCUCCCAAGUAGCGCCUUUCUUUAAUGUCUUUGGCUAGACAUGGCCAAAACCCUCAAGCAUGAGAAAGUGGAUCGUGGAGGUGUUCAACCUCUACUUCUUCAACAUAGAAACCCUCAUAAUAAGGUUUGAGACGAUGGCCAUUCACCACGAACUUUUUCUCCGUGUUUAAACUCUGGAUCUCCACUGCACCAUAAUGGAACACAUUAGAAACGACAAAUGGACCAAUCCAACGAGAACGCAACUUACCGGGAAAAAGUUUAAGCCUUGAGUGAUACAAGAGGACUUUUUGCCCCACUACAAAAGUUUUCCUAGAAACCUGUUGAUCAUGAAAGAUUUUACUCUUUUGCUUAUAGAUCGUGGCAUUCUCAUAAGCUUCAUUUCUUAUCUCCUCUAACUCCUGUAGUUGCAAUUUCCUUUGGACCCCUGCUUCGUCAAAUCCCAUGUUACAUUGCUUCACUGCCCAAAACGCCUUGUGUUCGAACUCCACGGGGAGAUGGCAAGCCUUACCGAAAACAAGUCUAUAGGGAGACAUCCCAAUUGGCGUCUUAUACGCGGUUCUGUACGCCCAUAGUGCGUCCUCUAACUUUAAACUCCAAUCCUUCCUGUCCGGGCGCACCAUCUUCUCCAAGAUCGACUUGACUUCCCUGUUCGACACUUCGGCUUGACCGUUCGCCUGCGGGUGAUACGGUGUGGAUACCUUGUGCAGUACACCGUAUUUUCGAAACAAGGCCGUGAUAGUCUUGUUGCAGAAAUGUGUCCCUCUAUCACUAACCACAGCUCUUGGCAUCCCAAAACGGACAAAGAUAUUAGACUUUAAGAACUCUGCAACCACUCUAGAAUCAUUAGUACGGGUGGCUUUGGCUUCCACCCAUUUAGAAACAUAAUCCACAACAAGUAAAAUGUAUAGGAAACCAAAAGAUGAGGGAAAAGGACCCAUAAAAUCUAUCCCCCAAACAUCAAAAAUUUCAACAAACAACAUGGGGGUUUGAAGCAUUUGGUCCCUGCGAAAAAUAUUCCCCACCCUUUGACACCUAUCACAGGAUUUACAGAAUAAAUAAGCAUCUUUGAACAGGGUGGCCCAGUAAAAACCACUCUCUAACACCUUUCGAGCUGUUCGUUUGGGCCCAAAGUGCCCUCCACAUGCAAACGAAUGACAGAAAUUUAAAAUGGAGUGAAAUUCACCUGCACUUACACACCUCCUGAGCACUUGAUCCGAACAUUGUCUCCAAAGGUACGGGUCGUCCCAAAUGUAAUAUUUGGCAUCACUUUUCAACUUGUCUCUCUUAGCCUUGGGCCACCCUGCAGGCAAUUGAUUAGUCACCAAGAAAUUUACUAUAUCAGCAUACCAGGGUGUAGACGAGUUAAUGGCAAGUAGUUGCUCCUCUGGAAAUGCCUCCCUCAAUGGUAGCUCUUCCUUAUGAGCAAGCAAGCGGCUCAAAUGAUCAGCGACUAGGUUUUCUGCCCCACUCUUAUCUUUAAUCUCCAAAUUGAACUCUUGGAGGAGCAGGAUCCAUCUGAUAAGCCUUGGUUUAGCAUCUUUCUUCGUCAUCAGAUAUCUCAAGGCUGCAUGGUCAGAAAAAACUAUUACUUUUGCACCUAGCAAGUAUGGUCUAAAUUUUUCUAGUGCAAAAAUCACAGCAAGUAAUUCUUUCUCUGUUGUAGAAUAAUUGAGUUGAGCUCCAUUCAACGCCUUUGAUGCAUAAUAGAUUGCAUGAGCCGCCCUACCAAUCCGUUGCCCCAACACUGCUCCCACUGCAUAAUCACUCGCGUCACACAUUAUCUCAAAUGGGAGGCUCCAGUCUGGAGGUUGGAUAACAGGUGGUGAUGUCAAUGACUCCCUCAAUCUGUCAAAUGCCACCUUGCACUCCUCGGUGAAGUCAUAUGCUACAUCUUUUUGCAACAGCUUGAACAGGGGCGCUCCAAUUUUCGAGAAGCCUUUUAUGAAUCUCCUGUAGAACCCUGCAUGACCCAAAAAGGAGCGCACCUCCCGCACACUUGCGGGGUAAGGUAAAGCGGAAAUAAUAUCGACUUUUGCCUUGUCUACCUCUAUACCUCUGGACGACACUACAUGCCCUAAAACAAUACCAUGAUCCACCAUGAAAUGACAUUUUUCCCAAUUUAGAACCAAAUUUGUCUCAAUGCAUCUUUUCAAAAUUAAAGCUAAAUUAUCAAGGCAUUCAUCAAAACUAUCUCCAUACACACUAAAAUCAUCCAUAAACACCUCAAUAAUUUUUUCUACAUAUUCAGAAAAUAUACUUACCAUACACCGCUGAAAAGUUGCUGGGGCGUUGCAGAGGCCGAAAGGCAUCCUCCGGUAGGCAAAUGUACCAAAGGGACAGGUGAAGGUAGUCUUCUCCUGAUCCUCUGGUGCUAUUACGAUCUGAAAAUAACCAGAGAAGCCAUCAAGAAAACAGUAAUAGACACGGCCCGCUAACCUUUCUAUCAUCUGAUCAAUAAAAGGCAGAGGGAAGUGGUCCUUCUUCGUCACAGCAUUCAGACGCCGAUAGUCAAUGCACUGGCGCCAUCCUGUGGGUUUCCUCACCGGGACCAUCUCACCCUCUUGGUUCUCCUCAACUGUUACUCCCGCCUUUUUCGGGACUACUUGCACGGGACUCACCCAGGGACUAUCUGAGAUGGCGAAAAUUAUUCCAACUUCUAGGAAUUUAAGUAUCUCGUUCUUGACCACUUCCAUCAUUAGUGGGUUCAAUCUCCGUUGCCCUUGUCUAACUGGCUUUGCAUCAUCCUCAAGCCGGAUUCGAUGCAUGCAUAAGGAGGGGCUAAUUCUUUUGAUAUCUGCUACACUCCACCCAAUCGCCUCCUUAUGAUCUCGGAGAAGACGAAUUAGUCUAUCUUCUUGCCUUGGUGACAGGUGUGCCGAUAUGAUGACUGGCAGUGUCUCAUUGUCCCCGAGAAAAGCAUACUUCAAAUGCUUUGGGAGAGGUUUGAGCUCCAACUCAGGCGCCUGCACAAUAGAAGGCAACAAUUUUGCCUGAGUUUCUGGUACAAAAACAGAAGUAAGCUCAUACCUUGGGGAAAUUGGUGGGAGCGAAUGCAGUGCUCCAACAGCGUGGUAUAGCUCAUCAUUUAUUUCUACAUCAAGAGUUGCUCCCAACUCAAGAUGUUUGGUCAAUGCCACUGCCAGUGCAUCAACCCCAUCCAAUUCAAAUAUUUCUUGUACAAGGGGCUCAACAACACUUAAAGCAUAAACAGAGUUAGUCUCAUCUGGGUACUUCAUCGCCUCAAAAAUAUUAAAAUUUACAAUUUUCCCAUCAAACUCCAUCGACAAGGUACCCUCAUUUACAUCUAUUUUAGUCCUAGCAGUGCUUAAAAAUGGCCUACCUAACAGAAUAGGAGACGGAUUUAGUGCCCUUUCAUCCCCCAUGUCUAGGACAUAGAAAUCUGCAGGAAAAACUAACUCAUUGACCUGUACCAAAACAUCUUCAACUAACCCUUCCGGGUAAGCAUUGGUACGGUCUGCAAGUUGGAUUAUAAUGCCUGUGCCUUUUAACGGGCCAAGAUUUAGAGAUGCAUAGAUUGUCUUGGGCAUAACAUUAAUUGACGCCCCCAAAUCCAACAUUACUUUCCUAAUUGGAGUACCUCCUAUCUUGCAGGGAAUGGUGAACAUACCUGGGUCUCCACAUUUUGGUGGGAGCUUCCUCUGGAGUAUAGCUGACACGUUUUCUCCCACCGCCACUCGUUCAUCUCCCCUUAGCUUCCUCUUGUGGGUGCACAGGUCCUUCAGAAAUUUGGCAUAUUUCGGUAUUUGCUUGAUUGCAUCCAGUAGGGGGAUGUUAAUCUCUACUUUUCUGAAUACAUCCAAAAGUUCCUUUUCCCUCUCUACUUUCCUUGUCUUUUCCAACCUGCAAGGAAAAGGGGGUAAGUUAGAGCUGAUAGUGAGUGGAGAGGUGGAGGAUACCUUAGGAUCUUCACGAACACGUCCUUCCUCCUCAAUUUCCUUUUCUAUCCCCUCCUCGCUUUUGCUUUUUGAAUUUUUCACUUUAGGUUCUUCCAGCUCCUUGCCACUCCUCAGCGUCAUGGCACUUACAUUCCUGGGAUUUACCUCGGGUUGCGAUGGCAGUUUCCCAUAAACGUGAGAUUCCAAGCGGUUGAUGGCAGUUGCCAGUUGACUUAUUCGAACAUCUUGGUCUUUCUUGUCAGCUUUGGUGUCCUGCUGGAGCUGCUCGGUUUUCGCGGCCAAGGAUCUGAUCUCCUGUUGAAGCUGUGUAGUAGUCGUGGCCAGGUUGGUAGUAGUCGUGGCCAGGUUCUUGACUAGGUCCUCCAAAGAGCUUCCUGUAUUGGAGGAUGAGGGUUGAGAUUUUGGUUGCCAAGGCUGGUGGAAUCCUGGUGGACGAUUCGGGAAUGAACCUUGUUGCCUGUUCCCGUAACUGAGAUUGGGGUGGUCUCUCCAACCGGGGUUGUAUGUGUUGGAAUACGGGUAAUAUUGCCUGCGGGGCGCGGGCACGCCUCCGGCCAUGUUUACCUGUUCCGCCCCGUCCUCUUGCAGAAUGGGGCACGAAUCCGUGCAGUGGUCCAUGCUAGUACAGAUUCCACACACCUUUGCUCGCGGUGUAUCUCUCAUGGCCAACUGCCUGACUGCAGACGUCAACUCUGACAGUUGCUGCUGGAUGGAUGACGUCUCUGCCUCAUUUACCCUACGGGUAGGAUUGCUCUCACGGAAGCCGAACUGCUGAGAGUUUUCUGCCAUGGCUUCAAUAAGGUCCCAUGCUUCCCUCGGUGUUUUGUUCGCCAGGGCUCCUCCACUCGCAGCGUCAAUAAUACCCCUGUCAGUUGACUGGAGCCCUUCAUAGAAGUACUGGAUCAACAGUUGUUCGCUAAUCUGAUGCUGUGGGCAUCCCUUGCACAACUUGUUGAACCUUUCCCAAUAAUCGUACAAUGAUUCCCCGGAGUACUGCUUGAUACUGCAUAUUUCCUUUCUCAAACUCGCAACCCGGGAUGCGGGAAAAAAUUUUUCCAGAAAUUUCUUUUUCAACUGUGCCCACGUGAUGAUACUACCUGCAGGUAGGUAGUAUUGCCAAUCUUUCGCUGCAUCCUUGAGAGAGAAAGGGAAAGCCCUGAGUCGUAUUUGCUCUUCGGUGACCGCUGGGGGUUUCAUGCUAGAGCAAACCACUUCGAAUUCCUUGAUAUGUUUGUGGGGUUCCUCACCAGAAAGGCCAUGGAACGAAGGUAGGAGUUGAAUCAACCCCGAUUUCAACUCGAAUGAGGUAUUCUCAGCCAGAGUUGGGAACGUGAUGCACAAGGGCUGAUGAGUCAGUUCUGGGGUAGCCAGCUCCCGUAAUGUCUGGGUGUUGGCCAUGCUCAAUUCGUCUUCUAUUGACUCGUUUUCAGAAAAUGAGUACCCUUCUUUUUGUCUCUUGGUCUCUUGCCUUCGCCUACGUGCUGCCUUCUCAACCUCAGGAUCGUAUAUCAAGUCACCUGUGCGAGAAGAACGGGGCAUAAACUAGCAAAAGUACCAAGAAAAAGAAAAAUAAAACAAAAUAAAAACUGAAUUCAAAAAGAAACAACUAAUUCAGACGCCAGUCCCCGGCAACGGCGCCAAAAAUUGACAGGUGCCCUACUGGAGCUCUGCUGGUGGUGAGGGGCGCCUGGACAGAGCUCGCGUGCGUUUGGGCUGCCUGCGAGAGGGGCUCGCGCGAGGAGGCUGCUAACGACCCGAGCGCGCGAGCGAGGCUGCUGCUGGGUGGAUGCUGUGCUGGAGUGGCGCGCUCUGUACGCGCGGAGGAAGUGCGCGGCCUGGGCGCGGCUGCUCGAGCUGAUGGCGGCGCACGGACUGCGCUGGAGUCGCGUGCACUGGAGGGGGCCGAAGGCUUCUGGUCUGCGCGCGCGGGCUGUGGUCCAGACUGCGGCUGCUGCUGGGUGGAUCUGGACCAGCGCAGGAGGACGCGCGCGGUCUGAUUCUGGCUGCGCGCUAGCGCGCGGCAGGCGAGGCUGGGCGAGGCAGGCGGCGGCGCGAUGGGCUGGCGGCAGGCGCGCGCGGUCUCGCGCUGCUAGGAGACGCGGCUGUGCAGCGACCGCGAUGGACGGCGUGUGGUGCGGCGGCGGACCAAGCAAAAGAAGGAAAAGAAGAAAAGAAAGAAAAGGGAGAAGAAAGAAGAAAGAAAGAAAAAGGAAGACAAGAAGAAGUAGGGCUACGGAAGUUUUUUUUUUUUUUUUUUUUUUUUUUUUUUUUUGACCACCUAGCGUGGGCACGCCUAACUGCCAUGUAGCCCGCAGAUUCUGAACGAAAAUUUCCUCCGUCAGGCGUGACCAUCUGGCGUGGGCACGUCUAACUACUAUGGAGUUCGCAGAAUCUGAACGAAAAUUUCCUCCGUCAGGCGUGACCAUCUGGCGUGGGCACGUCCAACUACUAUGGAGUUCGCAGAACCUGAGCGAAAAUUCCUUUUCCUCAGGCGUGAUCACCCGGCGUGGGCACGCCUAACCACUAAUCUCCUGCCACAAAACAUUAAACCAUCAAUUGACACUAAUACAUAACUAAAACUUCAAAAAUGCAUGAAAACUGCCACAAAUAUUCUUGGGUUGCCUCCCAAGUAGCGCCUUUCUUUAAUGUCUUUGGCUAGACAUGGCCAAAACCCUCAAGCAUGAGAAAGUGGAUCGUGGAGGUGUUCAACCUCUACUUCUUCAACAUAGAAACCCUCAUAAUAAGGUUUGAGACGAUGGCCAUUCACCACGAACUUUUUCUCCGUGUUUAAACUCUGGAUCUCCACUGCACCAUAAUGGAACACAUUAGAAACGACAAAUGGACCAAUCCAACGAGAACGCAACUUACCGGGAAAAAGUUUAAGCCUUGAGUGAUACAAGAGGACUUUUUGCCCCACUACAAAAGUUUUCCUAGAAACCUGUUGAUCAUGAAAGAUUUUACUCUUUUGCUUAUAGAUCGUGGCAUUCUCAUAAGCUUCAUUUCUUAUCUCCUCUAACUCCUGUAGUUGCAAUUUCCUUUGGACCCCUGCUUCGUCAAAUCCCAUGUUACAUUGCUUCACUGCCCAAAACGCCUUGUGUUCGAACUCCACGGGGAGAUGGCAAGCCUUACCGAAAACAAGUCUAUAGGGAGACAUCCCAAUUGGCGUCUUAUACGCGGUUCUGUACGCCCAUAGUGCGUCCUCUAACUUUAAACUCCAAUCCUUCCUGUCCGGGCGCACCAUCUUCUCCAAGAUCGACUUGACUUCCCUGUUCGACACUUCGGCUUGACCGUUCGCCUGCGGGUGAUACGGUGUGGAUACCUUGUGCAGUACACCGUAUUUUCGAAACAAGGCCGUGAUAGUCUUGUUGCAGAAAUGUGUCCCUCUAUCACUAACCACAGCUCUUGGCAUCCCAAAACGGACAAAGAUAUUAGACUUUAAGAACUCUGCAACCACUCUAGAAUCAUUAGUACGGGUGGCUUUGGCUUCCACCCAUUUAGAAACAUAAUCCACAGCAAGUAAAAUGUAUAGGAAACCUAAAGAUGAGGGAAAAGGACCCAUAAAAUCUAUCCCCCAAACAUCAAAAAUUUCAACAAACAACAUGGGGGUUUGAAGCAUUUGGUCCCUGCGAAAAAUAUUCCCCACCCUUUGACACCUAUCACAGGAUUUACAGAAUAAAUAAGCAUCUUUGAACAGGGUGGCCCAGUAAAAACCACUCUCUAACACCUUUCGAGCUGUUCGUUUGGGCCCAAAGUGCCCUCCACAUGCAAACGAAUGACAGAAAUUUAAAAUGGAGUGAAAUUCACCUGCACUUACACACCUCCUGAGCACUUGAUCCGAACAUUGUCUCCAAAGGUACGGGUCGUCCCAAAUGUAAUAUUUGGCAUCACUUUUCAACUUGUCUCUCUUAGCCUUGGGCCACCCUGCAGGCAAUUGAUUAGUCACCAAGAAAUUUACUAUAUCAGCAUACCAGGGUGUAGACGAGUUAAUGGCAAGUAGUUGCUCCUCUGGAAAUGCCUCCCUCAAUGGUAGCUCUUCCUUAUGAGCAAGCAAGCGGCUCAAAUGAUCAGCGACUAGGUUUUCUGCCCCACUCUUAUCUUUAAUCUCCAAAUUGAACUCUUGGAGGAGCAGGAUCCAUCUGAUAAGCCUUGGUUUAGCAUCUUUCUUCGUCAUCAGAUAUCUCAAGGCUGCAUGGUCAGAAAAAACUAUUACUUUUGCACCUAGCAAGUAUGGUCUAAAUUUUCAAAUGACUAAACCCAAGAACAAAGGCAAAAACACGCCCUCCACUUCCACCCCUCAGCCUACGGUCCCCUUAGAGAGACCUUCCCCAUCGACUGGGCCUGGAGGACCCCGUACUCGCCUUGGGCGGAAUAGGGAGGUUCAUAUCUCCUCUCCGGCCCAUUUUGGCGGUCACUUGACCUUCACCCGGGCUGCCGACAAGGAGCGGUAUGCAUCGGCUUGCACAAGGAAGAUUAUUCCUUGUAAAUACAUCCAUGGCCCUACACUUGAUAUUUUAAACCUGAGGGAUGAAGUCACGCAGCACUUGACUAACGUAGGUUGGACCCGCUAUGCUUCUAUCAUUUUACCUGCUUUCACUGAACUGACGUGGGAAUUCUAUGCUACCUUUGAACUUAAUAUUCCUGAUGAAUUUUCCGUUACCACUCCUGGGGUAGUGAGGUUUCGAUUAAUGGGUAGAGAGUUCAUCCAAUCUAUAACUGAGUUUAAUUUGGCUUUUGGGUUUAUUGAUAUUCCCUACUCCCAGAGUGAGGAGUACAUGCACAGUGUGUGCGAGUACUCGGAGCCAUUUUUCUCUCAUUACCUUGAUUAUUGGAGUGGUUUGUCAGUUGACCGACAAUGCUAUGACCCCAGUCAGUCUAAGGCCUCUUAUCUUAAGAGCGCCGCCUACCGCUAUUUACAUCGAUUCAUGGCCUAUAGUUUCUCAGGUAGGAAGGAUAGCUCGGGUACUCUGACUAAGCCGGAGUUCUUUUUCGUUUGGUGCAUGGUCACUCGGACUAAGGUCAAUGUGGGUGGCUGGUUUGCCCUCCAGCUCCGAACUGUGCUAACUAAGAAAAAUAAGCCAUUAAUCUUAGGCUCAUUUAUCACUCAGUUGGCAGUGAAUCUUGGGGUUUUGGACUUAAAUAACCAUAAUUUGCAUCGUGCUUGUACUAUGGAACCUCUCGAUUUGGUUUGUUUGGAGAGAAUGGGUCUUGUGCGACAGGUUAAUGGCGUUUUCCAGUUUGCUCCCCCGGGGCCAAUCUCUGUUCCUCCGAAGCGCAGCGCUUCCAAAUCCACUGCCCCGGAGGCUGGUGGUCCUUCUACGGAUACACCUGGACCUUCCUCUUCGGCACCCCCACCAUCUUCCUCCGUCGAUAGCCAGCUUGCAGCUCUUCGGUUCCAGAUGCAACACAUGGACAAUCGUAUGGAUCGAAUGGAGGGCCAAAUGGCCGGCAUGGCCCAGAAUUUAGCGCAGUACCUCCACCACGUGGGUUUCCGGCCACCGUGCCCUCCACGACCUUAGUUCACCUCUGCCCCGCCAUAUUAAGGGAAGUGUCGUGCCUUUAUCGCUUUAUUUUCCUCUUUAUCCGCUUCCAUUGGGGACAAUGAAAGGUUUAGGUGUGGGGGAGGGUUAACUAUGCUUUGGUUGUGCUUUUCGUUGUCUGAUUGAGUUUUUCCUUGCCUUAGUAGUUGUCUUUUCUUUGAACGAUGAUGAAUGCGAAUUGGGAUAUAAGCGUACAUAGUAAGUUCAUGCCAUGGGGUGUUCCACUUUCCUUGAUACUGAAUUGAUUGAUUAAUAUGCUGAACUUGACAUCCAUUUGAUCACUUGUGCGAUUUUUUUUUGGCCUAAUUUUCGUUUUGUUGAGUGGUUAGUGCACAUGGUUUGUCAUUCUAGAACUUGCUCGGUUAUGCAUGUCAAGAUCACAUUUAAAUGAAUUUAAUGCAUUGAAAUGAUAGGGCACCUAGGAAUGAGCCAUUUUUGGGACUUUCUUAAAACCAACCCUUGGAUUAUUUAUUAUCAUUAGGGAGCCAAGUUGAGCCUUAACCCCUAUUCGUUGCUUGAGACCCCAGCUCUUAGCCGUGAAACCUCUUUUUAGACUUUGUUUUUGAACCUCGUGUGAAGAAGUGCUUUGAUUUCAUUAUACAGACUUUUGGAGUGUUAUUCGAAGGGCAUUACACCCAUUUAUGUAUCUAAAAAAAAAAAAGAGAAAAAAAAAGAAAGAGAGAAAGAGAAAGUUGACUUUUAUGUGAAAAGAAGACAAAGUGCAGGAAACCAGCAAGUAAAGUUGACUUUUAGGGUGCUGGUUGGGAGUAUUGGAAACAAAAAAAAAAAAAAAAAAAAGAAGGAGAAAAGGCGAAGGUUGUGGCAAGUGCUAGUUCGCUUCACUUGUGUGAUGGUUGAGGUGCCUUUAAAUUUCAAAUGUGCAAGAAUCUAUGUAAUGAAUUUCUGGGCACUUUCUUUAUACUUUUGCACCCUUUUGACUCCUUUUUAUCCUACCUUCUCACCCUAGCCCCACUACAACCUUGCAAAGUCCCUUGAUUGCUGCAUUUAAAUUCAUGAGUAGGUGGUGGAGAUAUGAUAUAUGAGCAAGCUUAUGGUAGUGUCAUUCUAUUGUGUUGAUUUGAGAGCCAUCUUAUAUACAUUUCAUAUACACUUUGGAGUGAACGAGUGCAUUUGGAACUGUGAGCAUUGUUGAUUUGGUAUAUUCUGAUUUCGAUGAGGUUAGUGGGGAGAUUGGGAUGCCGUUUUUGGUAUGAACUGCUGUGAUUAGCUUCGUAUCUCGAUUGUAUUUCUGAGUAAUUAUGCUUGAGGGCAAGCAUAGUUCAGGUGUGGGGGAGAUUGAUAGGUUCCAUUUUAGUGGGUAUUUUGGGCAUUAUUGCAUAAUUAAUUGACUAAAUAUUUUCGUUAAUUGGGUGGAUUCUACUGAUAUUUUGUUUUGGUGCUAAUUGCAGGAAUGGUUGCUGAAAAGCGCUUAAAUUCAACUUUUAGAAGAUUCAUCGGAGUGGGGCCCGUUUGAGAAGCGGAAAAAACCUAAUUGUAAUAGAUUUUAUUUUAAUAUAUAUUUCUAGGGAGUCUUGCUGCAAUUUUGAGAAGUAACAAUUUGUAAUUUAUCUCUGGCGCGGCUUAGGUUAGAGAGGAGUCUUCGUUUUUGGUUUUUGAAUGAGAGGAGAGAGCCGCAGCCUGGAGGGGAAAAAGGCAACGGACAGAAGCCAUCAUUGUUGACUUGUGAGAAACGAAUUCUUCAUGUUUGGACUUGACAACUUGAGAAAUCAAGCAAUUGAGAAACUUUCACUCUCGUGUAUCUUGACUUCAAUUGGAAAAAGGAAGAAAGCUUAAAGGAGCCGCCAUUGUUGACUUUGCUCUUGGGCUGUCCUACCUUGUGCGAAUCGAAUUGGAGAACAAAAGCAAUCUCUCGUAUGUUUCCACUUAACAAUCGAGAGCAAUACAAAUUUGAGCUUUCUCCUCCUGUGGUGGACCGAAGCGGGAUAAUCGAAGUGCAAACCUUUCUCAGUUUUCCACGCGCGGUUUGUCCUCCAUUAAUGGAGGGCUAAUUCUCUAAUUCUAGUCAAGGGACAGCUGAUGAAUUGGUUCAAUUAAUGCUGUGAGAUCUAAACCGCUUUUAAUUAUUUCCUCCGUUUAUUGGUAUUUAUAUGUUCUUUGCUUUUAACUGUUAUAGCUCUUGUGUAUGAUUGAUUAGUGCGCAAUAAUUAAUUAUUCAUAUAGGCUAUUUUGCUAAAUAGAGGUAAUUGAAUCCGUAAUUGUUCGUUACCUCUAUCCCAGUAGCAACUGGUAUAAUUGGGUUUAUGUCAGGGGAAUAUAUGAUCUAGCUUAAAUAAACCCUCGUAGCGUGUUUAUUGGUUAGGAUUGGGCCUUUCUAAUUAUUAAUGCAAUCUGGAAAUUGAAUCCUACGGUCGUACCUAGGGUUGUUUUUGGGUUAGAGAAAUAGCUAACGGUCGUACCUUGGCUAUCGAUAAAUUAAGGAAGGGUUGGUUGUUUAGCGCGUGCGAGACAACUAGAACCAAUCUAUUAAUAAAUGUUGGAAUUACCUUUGAAUCAAUGAUCAGUGCAUGAACCAUUUCUGAAGUAUACCCUUGGCUAGAGUUUCUCUCAUUUAUUUCUUUUAAUUAAUUAUUUUCUGCAGUUAAUUUGUUUAGUUGGCAUUUGAUACCAAAACCCCCCAUUAAUCUUGAUUUGAAAAGAAACAAAUAUAUCUCCAGUCCCUGAGGAGACGACCCUGCUUACCACUAUCUACUAGUUAGAGAACUCAGUUAAAUAAUUGAUUCAGGUAUAUCGGAUUAAGCAAACUCUUCGGGAACAGGGUGAAUCAAGUAACCCAUUGCACACCUAGAGUCCCUGCUCCAGUACUCGAAUUGAUUACUAGCUGUUGCAGGUGGUAGUUAGGAUUUAUUUAUUAUUAUUGCACAGGUUCGGCACCUGUCAGGAUCUCAUACCCGUCUAGGAUGCAACUUUCCAUUGUGUAUCUUGGGACUAAAAGAGGAGCAACUGGGUACAAUCUCAUAGUCUCCUUGAUGAUUGCUUUGAGAUAGGGAAGCUUUUGAAUAUCAUCUUCAUCUAUCAUUUUUUUCUCUCCAAGCACCUCUUGGAUUUCGUUUUGAGCUUUUUCCAGUGCCGUAGGGUUCUUGAUAAGUGCUGUCAUUGCCCAGAUUACUGUGCCUGCUGAAGUUUCUGACCCGGCAAAAAAUACGUUCUGCAGUUGUUUAUUGAAAAACAAAAAAGAUAAUCAUCAAUGAAUUUCCUAAGCCUAAAACUUUUCAUGUGUUUGGGUUGAAGAUCAUUUAGAAAUUUUUUUCAGACAGUAAAAAUGUAAAAUUUUUGGAAUGUGAUGUAUGAGCGAUAAAGAGAUGGAUAAACAUUAUGUUUAGGAAAUAUUACAAAUUCUUUUUUUCUGAAAAAGGGCUGAGUCCAAUGCUUCUUGUUCAUCAAGACCAAUUGUAUCGAAUUGAAAUAAAUCAACAUUUGUGUAAGACAAAAUUAUGACUCUCAUCCUAUCCAAUUCUGGUGGAGACCCAAAACACAACCUCUCUAUCAGAAUUUGAACUUGGAGUUGGUAUGUAAUAGUGCCAAUUAACUUAAGGAUGUAAAUAGAAAAACAAAUAAAUAACGCUGUGUUUGGCUUUGUGUCAGAAUUAAAUUGUAUAGUAUUCAUAUUAAGCAGCAUUAUUUUUCAUAAGAUAUGAUUGCAAUUUCAAGUAGAAAAGAACUAACAGAACCUGUAUAUCACACUCUGUACUGGAAUAGUAUGUUAAAGAGUUAGUUUAUUACCAUAAGCGUGGCCUUGAUGUGAUCCACAGUCAGAUCAAACGGAGUUGAUCUGUCCUUCUGUAAUUGAAUCAAGAGAUCAAUAAUGUCUCCAUCCAUUGACGUUGGCCUAUUUGGAUCCAGGUGCUCAUCAAUGAGUUCUUGGUAGAACAAAUCAAGCUUGUUGAAAACUUUCUCCAGUCGAGAUAGCAUCCCAGUGUAUUUAUCCAACCAACCAAUUGUAGGAAAAUAAUCAGAGAAAUAGAAUGCAACAAACAUUGCCUGAGCUUCUUGCAAGAGAAAGUGGAAUCUUUUUCUUUCUUGGCCUUCCUCGUCAUACCUUUUUCCAAAUCCAAUUCGGCAAAUCAUUGUACUUGUGAGAGACAAUAAAGUGUGAGUCAAGUCAGUUACUUGUGAUGAAGCAGAUUCCCGGUAUAUCUUUUGAAUCAUUCGGUAGACCUCAUCUUCGCGUAUAGGACGAAAUGAUUGAACUCUCUUGGAGCUCAAGAGAUGAAGAACACAAAUCUUUCUCAAUUCUCUCCAUUGCUCAUUGUACAGUGCGAACGCGAUGUCCAGGCCAUUGUAGGACAAUUUUCGCUGGCCAAGCAUAGGUGGCCGGCUACAGAAAAUUAAGUCAUGAUUUUUCAUAACUUCUUCUGCCAUUCUUGCUGAAGAAACCACAAGUACUGGCAUGGAUCCAAGCUUGAGGGACAUGAGAGGGCCAUACUUUCUGGAAAGCUCCCCGAGAUAGACAUGUGGGGCUGAGGGAUCAAAUUGAUGCAUGUUUCCAAUGAUUGGAAUCCCAGGAGGACCAGGGAGAGGAGGAUGAGAUUUUGUUGAAUAUUUCCUGCUGUUUUUCUGAAGAAGAAUCAGGAAAAUUAUGGGAAGAGCUGAAAGUAAAGCAAUGAUCAAUACUAUCUCCAUCACUUCAGGAGGAAGAUUUUC
This 85179-nucleotide long non-coding RNA is filed under the name Coffea arabica (coffee). RNAcentral's name for it is "long non-coding RNA (CARA_LNC000155)". The stretch from base 75900 to 76006 matches the Rfam family "Plant small nucleolar RNA R71". Lineage: Eukaryota; Viridiplantae; Streptophyta; Magnoliopsida; Gentianales; Rubiaceae. The record is from RNAcentral.